UAAUUUCAAACGGAGAUCAAGGAGUUGGAACCAUAUCCUUAAGGCGGGUCAAGAAAUGAGAUUUUUACACUGAACACUGUAGUGACACUAGGUACGUAAUACAAACUACAUCUUACAUCAACAUAACCACAAGAAAUUAUGGGAAGUGAUAAAUGGAAGGAUCAAAUGCUUUGAACCUCUGUCUCCUAAUUUUGCAUGCUAUAGUUAGCGAUACAAUGUGUAAAUUUCAUCCACCUAUGUUCCCUUUCAAUACUCUGAAUAGUAGUGGAACUUUUAAACAGUAGCUGGUCCAUAGUUUCAUCCAUUGAUAAAAUAACUUCAAGUCAUAGACAGUUGUAUGAAAAUAAUCAUCGUCAAUUGUAUGAAAAUAAAUACUAGAAACAAAAGCGUAGAGUGUAGAUGUACAAAUAAGGUAGCAAAAAUGGUUUCUAUUGGAUAAUUUUGUCAGAUGAGAAUUUUUAAUCUCACUCCUAUAUCUCUUUACAACUAAAUAUUUACAUGUUUAGAAACUAAAUGUGUCACAAAAAUGAUGGUUAAGUUCGAUUGAUUCUGUCCCCAAUCCCACUGAACCAUAACUCUGCUGUGUUUCUCAUCAUCUGACUCAUAAUGAACUCAAUUGAUUAGUAAGAUCAAUGAAAGUAUCUUCGUCGCAUGGGAUUGUGAGACCGCCCAUUGGGUGAUAAAAGCCAAACUCUUCUUCAGCUUGAUUUAACAAGGUUUGGAAUAAAUGAUGAUUCAAAUAUGAUAUUGGAACCACAAAUCGCUUGUUUUGAUUCUCUCCAACAUAUACUGCAAUGUGACCUUUUGGAACACUUGAAGUCUUUGUAUUUGAAAGAGAUCGUCGAAGACUUUUCUUAAUUUGAGGAAUACUAGGUAAGUGAAUAGCCAUGGAUGUUGCAAGAAUGACAAGAAAAAGAAAUGGAGCUUAAGAAUCUAUUGGACUUGAUAAUGUUCUACUGCCUUGGAGAUGGAUGGUUACUCUGAGAUGAUAUAUGUGCAUAUAUAUAUAUAUAUAUAUAUAUAGAAGACUGGUACUUAGGGAAGUUUCUUCAUCAAAUUUGUCACAAGUUAAUUCAGAGGCAUACCUUAUGAAGGAUCACAUGGUUUUGUCCGAUGUCUUUAAGAAAUUAUGCACUUGGAAGGUCACACUGAUCCAUUGAUUUGUUGCAGAAACAGCAUGGCCUACCAAUAAAGACAAACAAAUGCUACUGAAAUGGCCUGUCUAACACGAAUUUAUCUAAUAAUUCCGAUCAUGUAAGAGUUUAUAUGAGGUAGUCAAGACAUAUUCUUGCUUAUCCUAAACACACAUAAAUCUGUUAAAGUCCAUCUUAAAUGCUAUAUUAUAAGAUAAGAAAACCAGACAUUAUUUCAUAAGGGCCAGUAUGUAAGGUGUUGAAUUGUUGAUAUCAGCAGAAAAACUUAUGAGACAAUACAUUCAAGUGGAUUCGAACCUGUUUCCACAAACGAUAGACCCUAGUGUGUGGCCACAUAGAGUACAAUGUGACCACUCGACCGAUCCUGAUAAUUAGUUGCAAGGCAAAGCCAUGUGAUCCUUCAUCAGGCAUGCUGCUAAACCAUCUUAUCAAGCAAUGAAAAUAAUUAAUCAUCAUUAAAUCAGAUUAGAUAACACGGCAGGUCGGCAGCCUCAGCAGUCAGGACCUUUUCAAUGUCAGCACACUUUAUCUUCAAUCUUCAUACUUCAGCAAAAUGAGAAAAUGAGGAUAUUGCAUAAACAUAUAUGUACUUUAAUUAUAUUCAAUGACUACAUUUUAAAUGGUUGUGAUUCAAUCAGCACGUAUCUGUAAAAUAAUCCAUUACACCUUAUGUGGGCUAAAGUUUCUAAAUGGCAGGUCAAAAUAUGUGCAACGUGACCUUUUGCAAUUCCCAUCUGGAUGAUGAGCACCGUACGUAGACAAACCAUGUGAGAAUCCAUAAGGGAUCCUAUUCAAUGUAGCCCUUGCAAAUGAUUCCCAUCCAUAUAUAUACAACUAUGAUAAUAAGGCUACCUCACAUUCAGUUGUAUUUCGUAUCCAAUAACUUUCAAAGCUUUCUUUGUUUUUCAGCAUCUCUGCAAUACUACACCAGACAAUGGGAACUCGUCUACCAGUUAUUUUUCAGGCCAAGCAAAUUAUUCGCCGGGUCAUUUUGGCUCCAAUUGCCACAGAUGUUCCAAAAGGACACUUUGCAGUUUAUGUAGGAGACAACCAAACCAAGAAGAAGCGAUAUAUAGUUCCAAUAGCAUAUUUAAACCAAGCUUCAUUCCAACAAUUGCUAAGCAAAGCUGAGGAAGAGUAUGGAUAUCAUCAUCCAACUGGUGGUCUCACAAUUCCAUGCAAUGAGGAUCUGUUCAUCAACCUCACUUCUAAGUUGAAUAGCACAUGAGAGAGGAGGGGCAAAGGGGACAUAAUAUGGUGGCAAAGAAAUCAGUUGAUGUUCCUCCCAAUAUUUUGUCACAUCAAACGACUUGCCAGAAAAAAUGUCUCCACAAUUUUGUAGAGUAGGAUUUAUAAAGAUUCAAAAUCAUGUGAAUAGAUGUUUUUGUAUAUUAGAUGGUCAUUACAGGGAUAUCCAUGUACAUUCUACUUUAAAUGUAAUGGGUCAAAGCAUGCAGUUUUUUGUAUGUAGGCUUCCUUUUAGUUUUAGCAUGUUAUACUUACCGAUUAAUUCUUAAAGAGUAUCAGUUUGAUUACUUGAUGAUGCUUAAAUGAUUAAACAAUGAUUAGCAUCAACCAACAUCAGAAUUCUAUUAAACACUGAACCAUCUAUCCUAUUAAGCUUUUAGAUCUCAGAAGUGCCAUCCAUAUAUGUUAUCAACAAGGGUGACCUGUCGUAUAAUACUCUUGGUUGAACUCGUGUCCGGGAACAAGAUUUUUGACAACUUAAUUCCUGCAUAACAUAACAGGUUUUUUUUCUUUCAUUUUUCUUUUCAUGACAAGGGGACUUUUUCCAUAGGAAAAAAGAAGAGUAGAAAGUAGAAUCUUAAAGGAGUUUUGCAUACGUAUGUUCUGCAUAGAAUGCGGCAUUUAAGGUAGUUGCUACAAGAUCAAUACAGAUACACACACACUCACACACACAAAGACCUAAGAGUACGUUUUACCUGAGAGAUGAUGUAAGAGCCUGAAGUGCUUAGUACUCUGUGAGACUAUUUAUGGAGUGAACUGGUGCUGGUGGAUUUAUCUCGUCAUAACAAGAAGAGAACAGUACCGCAAAGAGAUGUCCUCUCAAUCUGCAAAUAGAUCAUUAGGGAGAUAAGCUUAUAUAAUAUUUCUUGUUACAAAAUCAAGGUUAUUUGAUAAGAAUGAAUAUCAUCACUGCAAGAUUAUCUUUAACACUGAUACAAAAAGAACUAGAGAUAAGGACAAAUAUGUAUAAGUUUGUUUUCAAAGAAGCGGGCACACAAAAAGCUACAUUUAUACUAUAGGAUCACAUAUAUAUACACUAUAAUUAUCUGUUACUAAUUCCAAAUGUAAAACGAACUUGGUGACAGUCUAAAUCAUCAGUUGCAUCCCAUGAUAAGAGAACUAUAAGUCAUACACCUAUUUUGUAAAAACUGUACUUAGAAAAGAAGAGUAGGAAUAGAAACAGCGGAAGAUAAGAGAAAUUGUUGUAAAACGAACUUGGUGACAGUCUAAAUCAUCAGUUGCAUCCCAUGAUAAGAGAACUAUAAGUCAUACACCUAUUUUGUAAAAACUGUACUUAGAAAAGAAGAGUAGGAAUAGAAACAGCGGAAGAUAAGAGAAAUUGUUUCUAUUAUAUAAUGUUGUCAAAGGAGACAUUGUAAUCUCAGUCUCUUGUAUCUCUUUACAUAAAAAUAUUUACAUGUUUGCAAACUCAAGUUGUCACAAAAAUGAUGGUUAAGCUAAGAUAAAUCAGUCUCUGCAAAACCCUAACUUUGCCGUGUUUUCUCAAUUCUCAUCAUCUGACUCAAAUCAACUGGCUAGUUAUAUCAAUGAAAGUGUCUUCGUCACAUGGGAUAGUAAGACCACCCAUUGGGUGAUUGAACCCGAACUCUUCUUCAGCUUGAUUUAACAAGGCAUGGAAUAAAGGAUGGUUUAAGUAUGAAAUUGGAACCACAAAUCGUUUCUUUUGAUUCUCUCCAACAUACACUGCAACAUGACCUUUUGGAACACUUGCGGUCUCGGAAUUUGAAAGAGACCGUCGAAGACCUUUCUUGAUCUUAGGAAUACCGGGUAAACGAAUAGCCAUGGAUGCUGGAAGAAUAACAAGCAAAAGACAGGAAGACUAAAGGGUGUCUUAGACUGAGAAAAUGUUUAUUGCCCUGGAGUUGGAUGGUUAUUGUGAGAUGAUAGAUAUGCAUAUAUAUAGAGAAGAACGGUAUUUGAAAAGUUCCUUCAUCAUGUGAAUAAUAAACAUUCGUAGGUCAAUUUCAGGGUCAUACCUUGCGAGGAAUCACAUGGUUUUGUUUAAUAUCUUUAAACUUAUUGUCUGGAUGAUCAUAUUGACCCAUUGUUUUAUGCAGAAACAACNNNNNNNNNNNNNNNNNNNNNNNNNNNNNNNNNNNNNNNNNNNNNNNNNNNNNNNNNNNNNNNNNNNNNNNNNNNNNNNNNNNNNNNNNNNNNNNNNNNNGAGACGAUGUUAUAAUUUUUUUAGUAUUAUUAAGUAAAAUACUUUCGUAAUACUAAAACUAUCUUUCUUGAAUCUAAUGAUCACCAAUCCCCCCCCCCCCAAAACGUACAUAAUUAGCAAUCCACCCAAAUCGAUUUACAGAAGAAAAAAAAUGAUAGUAAAAAUGAAAUUUAAAUAAAGAAGAUGAAAUUUGAGGAAGAAAUUUAAAAAAAAAAAAAAUCCUACAUACUUAUUUCCCUCGAUCACCCAUAAUUAUUUUUUUACUUGUUAGCUUCAAAAGAAUUCUUACUUGAAUAGAAAGUUAGGUUUAGAUUUAUUGAACAUGACCAAGUACGUAUAUUGCUUACUUUGGCAUAAGCCCAAGCUUAUUUUCAAACAAAACCAAGUUUAUUUGAAACAUAAAUGCAACCAGUUUCAAAUCAUGUUGAAACAAAAGAUCUCUUGAAACCAUGAUAAAGGGUAUUAUGAAAGUUCUUCUUCUAAUUCAAUCAGUAGAUAACAUAGAUGGAUAAGAUGUUGACACACGUCCUUAUUAACAUCUGAAAGGCACCUUUGGUAUAUGAAAUUUUUUAAGGGGGUGGGUAUAUUUUUUCAAAUGGAAGGGUAACUCAAAUAUCGACUUUCAAGUGGGGUAAAUGCCAAAAUCUCAUAUAACUUGUGCAUACAAAUUCGAUUUACAUAGUAAAACUUUUCUUUUAGAAUCGUCAUAUUGUGAUUUCUCAAAGGCAAAAUAUUAUCUAAUGAUAUUUUCACCAUAAUUAUUUUCGACGGUAUUAAUCAUAAUUAUUUUCGACGGUAUUAAUCAUAAUACAAACAUUUUUGGUUUUCUUCAAUAUCCUAAAUUAAUAGCAACGAAAAUUGAUAACCUCAAAAUUCAACAAAACCCUCAAAAUUUGAACAGAUAGCAUUCAUAAUCAAACUAUGAUACACUCCAUGUAUCUAUAGUUGGACUGCAUUUGGAGAAUGGGUGCUAUAGAGCCAUAGAGGUCACACAAAAUAUGAUAAUCUCAAGUGAAAUGACAAACUCAUGAACUCGGGAAAAUAAUAAUAAAAAAAAAAACUGUGGAUGUUAAAAAGUUCAAAUGGAGGCCCAAUUUUAACCGAAAUGUAUCCAUAAAUCGGGCCUAAGUUGGACUUAUUGUAUCUGCUAGGCCUUUUCAUGUUCAGUUGGACAAGUUUCUUGUACAGUGAGCUAUUUGCUUUAAGCUUGUGAUAACUCUGACCACUAAGUUCCAUGUUGAUAGAGAUUAGAGAUUCCAACACAAAACUAAAUGCACCACAAAGACUACAAAACACAAUUUUGUCAGCAAUGAAAAACCAUAGAGAGCACGUGAACACAAUGUCUCUGCAGCGACAAAACGCUGAUGGCAUUGCAAGCUUCGUAUUGCUACGAACAAAACUGCCAGACUGGGCUUUGUUCUUACUUGUCACCUUUAUCUGUACACCUCAAACCAUAGUCAGAUUGCGGCAACGCGUCACCUUGCAUGAAAAUUUCUUUUGACACGUUGAGCUCUCAAUAUCCACGUGUUCAUCUGCAUGAAAUUUUAUACUAACAAGUGUUCAAGUACGUACUUGUGUAGUUCUGUUCUCACCAACUUUUCUCACACUAUAAAAUCUCAUAUCCAUAGCAUCACUUAUCCUCAUCAAAAAACGUUUCACAAGUUUUCAAACAAGUUCAUCACCAUGGCGUUUAGAAAUAAGCUUUCUUUCUUUGUGUUUGUUUUGUUUGUUUUUCUUGUUUCUGCAACUUUCUCUUUAGCUGAUGAGAAAGAGGAUCUUGAUCAGCUGCUUAGAAAAUGUAAGCAACAAUGUAGAACUCAACCAGGCCUUGAUAAGCAAGAACACCAAAAGUGUGAGCGUGAUUGUGAAGAGUAUGUUAAAGUGAGACAAAGGCAGCAGGAAGAAGGGCAAGGUGGUAAACAAGGAGAUGGUCUUCAAAGCGAUCGUUACAAAGAUUGCGUAGAUUUUUGCUAUCGUUGGCCAAAAAGUGCGCAGCUGCAACACUGUCUUGAAACUUGCGAACAAGUCGCUGGUGCUGUGAUUGAGAAGUUUUUGAACACUGAGGAAAGAGAAGAUCCUCAAAGAGAGUAUGAAAAAUGUCAACAAGGGUGUCAAGAACGCCGAUGGAGUCAAGAGAGAGUGAGAAGCUGCUUGAAAGAAUGCGAUGAACAUAGGAAGCAAAGAGAACAAGAACAAGGCGGACGAGGGGGACAAGAGCAGGGUGGACAAAGUGAAGAAAAGGGACGGCAAGGCAAGGGUGGACAAAGUGAAGAAGAGGGACAACAAGGCGGCAGACAAGAGCAGGGUAGACAAAGUGAAGAAGAUGAAAACCCUUACUUGUUCCACCAACAGAAGUUCAGCUCACAUAUCAAGAGCCAACAAGGAAAGGUUCAGCUUCUUGAGAAAUUCAACAAGCGGUCAGAUCUUCUCCAAGGGAUUGAGAACUAUCGAAUUUCAUACCUCGAGGCAAAUCCUAGUACCUUCGCUGUUCCUAACCAUGUCAAUGCAGAGACCAUUUUCUUUGUUCUUAGUGGUAAGAUAAUUAUUAAUCAGGAUCGGAAUAUAUAAUAUAUUUUCAAUUAACACGCCUGAUUAUUGAUAUCCAUGUGUUUUAUUAUGUGAUUUUAAUUAAUUAAUUCAUUGCAGGACAAGGAACAAUCACCCUUCUACAAGAGAACAAUAGAGAAACUCAUAAUCUAGAACGUGGAGAUAUUAUUAUGGUUCGUGCAGGCACCAUUCUGUCCUUCGUCAAUAGGGACAACAAGGAGAAACUUCGAGUCGCAAGUCUUCUCCAACCUGAUAACGUUCCUGGCGAUGUUAAGGUAAUACAAAUAUACAAUACCACCAUUUUAUUGAACUUAUCUUUAAUUUCCCUUGAAGUGAUGUAAAUGUAACUGAUGAUGUGUUCUUGCUUUUUUUUUUUUUUUUCCUGUCAUGAUGUAGGCUUUCGUUGGUGCUGGAGGCAGAGACCCUGAAUCAUAUUACAACACCUUCAGCAAUGAAAUCCUUGAAGCAGCUUUCAAUGUACACAAAUGAUCUCCUCUGUAUAUAUUUCCCUAUGAUUUUAGUUAAAUUAUGAUUCUAGAUUCAGAUUCUAAAUUAGACGUUAUUUUGGAUUGAUAAUGCAGGUUAAAGGUGAUCAACUGAGGAAAUUAUUUGAGGGACAGAACAAAGGAGUAUUUCUAAAAGCAUCUCAAGAACAGAUUAAAGCAUUGAGUAGAGAUGAAUCAUCAGAACAUGGUACUGGCGGUCCAUGGCCUUUUGUUCACGGCAAAUCACAAUCUAACAAACCAUACAACAUGUUCAAUAAAGAACGUCUAUCUCAAUCAAAUCAGUAUGGUAAAUUUUAUGUAGUCAGCCAAGAUGAUUACAAAAUGCUUCAAGAACUUGAUGUUCAACUCUCUUAUGCAAACAUCACUAAAGGAGCCAUGAUUGGUCCAUAUUACAACUCAAGGUCAACCAAGAUUGCCAUGGUAGUCAACGGCAAUGGUUACAUUGAAAUGGCAUGUCCACACAUAAGUCAACAACAACAACAACAAGGCCAAGGUCAAGGUCGACGCCAACAAGGCAGCCAGCAAGGAGAAAAAGGACAGCGUGGCAGUACCUCUACUUAUCAAAAAAUGAGUGGACGUAUCAGUCGUGGCGAUGUUUACGUGACUCCAGCUGGACACCCUUUUGUAGCCGUUGCAUCAAAUGAUGAGAAUCUCGAGGUAGUAAUGUUUGAGAUCAAUGCUCGAUACAAUCACAGGUAUCAACUUGCAGGGAAAAACAAUAUAUUGAAGCAAUUAGAGAAAGAAGCAAAGGAGUUGAGCUUUAAUGUUCCAGCAAAACAAGUUGAGGAAAUCUUGAACAAGCAACAAGGGUCAUUGUUCUACCCUGGACCUAAACAACAACAACAACAACAAGGUGGUCAUGCUGAUGCAUAGAUUCACUAACCAAGUGUUUUAUAUGCAUGCAUGCAGGGUUUUGUUGAGUAGGUGGUUUCUGUUUUGUUGAGUGAGGCUUUGAAAGAAGUUUUAGAGAGUUGUGUGUGUGGUUUGCUAUUAUAAAGUAAUAGCAUGUAUAUGAUGUAUGUAUACUUAGUACUAUUAUAAUAAUAAAAAGAAGCCACCUUGACUUUUGAAUUCACUUAAUUUUAAUGUUUGAAGUGUAUUUCUUUCUUAGAAAUCCCAUUUUAUGAUUUAGAUAAUGCUGGACAAGUGUUUGAUGAAAUUGAGAGGGAAUGAUAUUGUUGUUUGGGAAUGCAAUGAUAUAAGCAUGUUUGGUACGGGAACAAGAUACAUGGGUAGGCGAUCAAAGGAUAUGGAGGUAGAAGUGCAGAAUGUGGGUGAAUGAAUGUUGCAAGCAAUGUGUUUGAAGAAAUGACUGCCAGGAACAUUGGUGUGGAAAUCAUUGAGAGUUUUGUUUUUCACAAAAUGGGUGUGGUGCCAGGUAACUGAGCUUUCCUUACUUGUCAAAAGUUGUGCUCAGGCAAAAUUUGAGCAUCAGAGGUGUAUGAUGGACGUGCUUAGUUGUGAUAAGGUGUAUGAUGGACGUGCUUAGUUGUGAUAAGGAUGGAGUUUUGAGACUAAUGAGGGGCUCUAUUUAGGUGCUUGCAUUAUUCAAGGUUAUGAUGCUGAAAUAGGUGAGUGGGUUUCAAAAGCCUCCAGGAUGUAGCAUGAUCGAGUGGUGCAAAGUUGUUAUAGAUGAGACCAACUAGUUUUUGGGAGAGCUGAAUUCUGUUUUUCUGUCUAAUUAAAGAGGGAAAUCGAUUCGCAGUUAAGGUAUGGCUGUAAAAUACUGGCGGUCCAUAUUACAACUCCAGAUCAACCAAGAUUGCCAUGGUGGUUAACGGUAAUGGUUACAUUGAAAUGGCAUGUCCACACCUAAGUCAACAACAAUAAGGCCAAGGCCAACAAGGCAGCCAGCAAGGAGAAAAAGGACAGCGUGGCAGUACCUCAUAUCAAAAAAGGACAGCUUGGCAGUACCUCAUAUCAAAAAAUGAGUGGACGUAUCAGUCGUGGCGAUGUUUAAGUGACUCCAGCUGGACACCCCUUUGUAGCCGUUGCAUCAAAUGAUGAGAAUCUCGAGAUAGUAAUGUUUGAGAUUAAUGCUCGAAACAAUCAGAGAUAUCAACUUGCAGGGAGCCAGGGAAAAACAAUAUAUUGAAGCAAUUAGAGAAACAAGCAAAGGAGUUGAGCUUUAAUGUACCAGCAAGACAAGUAGAGGAAAUCUUGAACAAGCAACAAGAAUCUUGGUUCUACCCUGGACCUAAACAGCAACAGCACCAGCAACAAGGUGGUGGUGGUCAUGCUGAUGCGUAGAUUCACUACUGAAGUGUUUAUAUGCGUGCAGGGUUUUUGAUGAGUGGGUGGUUUCUCUUUUACGAUUACUGAGGCUUUGAAGGAAGUGUUGCUUGUAGAGAGUUGUGUCUUUUGUGUGGUUUACUAUUAAGUAACUUGAUGUACAUUCUGACUUGCAAUAACCUUAGAAGCAUUAAUUGUUACUUUCAAUUGAGCGGGAAAAUGAUCGAUGAAAUUUAACUUUUUUUAUAUUAUAUCAAUUGAGAGGGCCAUGAAGUUCGUCGUGAAAGUUUCCAAACGUCUAGUGCCUUUUGGACCUUUUUUUGAUAAUCUCAUCGAAAAUUCUAGUUCGGGGGGAAUUAAAAAUAAAUGUGUUAAUUUCAAAUCGAAAAUGUCGAAAAUUUCGUAAAUUUUGGUUUUUGCCGAAUAUUUCGUGAAUAUCCGAUAAAUUCCGAACGGCAUGGGGUGUUUUAAAUUUCGUUUAUAUAUCGUAUGCCGUACCGAUCCGAAUAGCCAAAAAAACGGAAUAUUUCGAGAAUAUCCGGGCGGCAAAUUCGAUUUUUUCACCUAUGAUGUAUACUACCUAUAUAUGAUUAUAAUAAUGGAAAGAAGCCACCUCGACCGGCCUUUUGGAUUACAUUCUGUUCGCAAAUGUGUGUAUGCGCCAUUCUGUUUUGUUUUAAGUUCAAAUUCUCACUAAUAUUAACCCAUUAGAUGAUAUGAGGAGUGUUGAUGAGUUGAUCAGAUCAAAGAUCUAGCUUCUAUCUAAACAAAACCCCAUUUUAUGAUUUAGAUAAUGCUUGGGGUCUUGGGGAGCCAAGAACGUUGCAAGAAAUGACUGACAUGAACUCAUAAGGAUUAGCUGGUUUUUGGCGGAAUCAGAAUGGGCUUCAAUUCUGACCUUUGAUAUAUACUACUCCGACAGACUUGUGCUCUUGCAAGGUGAAUUUGUUGCACUUGCACUUGAAGAUUUUACAUAACGGGGUGGAGUGUGUGAGUGGCUUCUGUAAUGGUUGGGGUUAGAACUUAAAUCACAGUUGCUGGCAUUAGUACUGUUAUAGUUUUUAACUAUGUUUUUGGCAUUUUGGGUACUCUAGCUUUAAUUUUCAGGAUCUCUCCCAUCCUUUUCUUCUAUCCAAUAUAUAAUUUGUGCACAUACUCAAUCUCUACUAUAUCGAUGGGGAAAUUAAAUGUUUGGCGAGCAGUAAUGUACUAAUAUUGAACCCAUGCACAUGUACAAAGUAAAGCCUACAGAGAAUCAGCUAGACGAAGUUUAACCAACUACACUGUAUUAACCUAUUUCUAGAUUAAUGCAUCAACAGGGUCAGGUCGUUAUGGAGACUUGACCAAAUGGGGAUAUUGGAGAUUGGGGUGGCUGCACCUCGUUGAGAUCGAGAUUGCCUACGUACUCUAGCUCGGGGGAAUUGAACUUAGAGAUCAAGCCAUCGUAGUUCUGUUUAUAUAGAAGAUGGAAGGGCGUGGAUCGUGGAUCUUGCAGAUUCUCCGCCAUCAUAAUGAUGAUUAAAUGUGUAACGCGCGAGGAUCAUCCCUGUGAAUUAAUUCUGUAACUGAUGAGAAUAUUCUGUGCAUUGAAUAGGAGCACGUGUGAAUAGCAGGUCGCUGGUCGUUGCGUAGUCUGGUCGCUUUAGUCGAGCUGCGAGUGGGUAGAGAUCGUGGCGACCUGACGGAUGGAUGACUGUGCCACGUGGCUGCUUUUGAUUGGUCGGAGUAUGUAGUACCCCUAUAUAAGCCCCCUCUUUUUAGGUCGACUAUGGGAGUCGGGCUGAAAAGACUAAUUACUCUUAUCGAUGCUGAUUUGUAGUUCACCUUUUUGAAGUUGCUGACGUGGCAGUCAUGCAGCGCUGUCUGUGGUAAUCAUGGCGCUGUUACGGGGAAGUGGAGGAGUUUCCUCGAGCAGUUAGUUGUGUGAUUAUGGCAACUGACGCACGUAUUGCCCGAUUUGCUAUCUGUCUUGCACGUGGAUUUAUCCAACGGUGGAUGUGAACCGUUGCGUGAGUGGAGAAUGACUGUACUGCAUAUGGAUCCUUUUGUCGAUCUCAGCCGUUCGUUUGUUUCGAAUCGAUGGCUAGAAAUUCUCGAGCUACAGUAUAUAAAGUGUAGUUACGUUGAUAAGGGUUUACUCAUCUUGCCUUUAUUUGAAUUGCUGCCGCUUUUGCCUUGCGAACUGAAGAACUUUGAGAGCUCGUGAGGUUUGUUCUCUUUUCUUUUCUCUGAUUGUUUAUUUUCUUUCUUUUUCUUCUUCUGCUGUCUUCUGUAUUGCUUGAGAGUAAUGUCUGAGGGUAGUGAUUCUCAAAAUGACCACUUGAGUGAUGGUGGAGUUGAAGAGUAUGAGUCUGAGAGUACUCAUUCUGACCCUCCGUCUCCCGUUCCCGAUGAGAAUGUAGAUAGCCCCCAGAGUAGUGGUUCUCAUGGUCCAGAUUCUUCUGAUGAUGAGAUGGUUGAAGAUGAUAAUGGUAGAAUGUGUAGGAUUGUGAAUAUGAAUUAUGUACAUAGGCAUUUUGCUGUUAGGAGUCAUUACAAGUUUAGCUCGAUUAGGAAUUUAGAGAUAAGGUUUCUUGGGGACCGCUUACUUUCUCCUGACUACCGACCUAAUAAUCCUUCAUCAACUGUAUUGACGUUGAACCAAUUCCGUGCUGGCUUGAGGUUGCCGUUGUCUGAAUUGGUUGUCGACCUGUUGAAUGCCAUUAGGCGAGCCCCCUGUCAGAUGAAUGGUAAUUUCUGGCGGAACAUGAGGGUAAUUGACGACCUCAACAAGUUGCAUAGGUGGAACAUUACAGCGGAAGAUGUAUUGAACCACUUUUGCUUCAAACGCUCUUCGAAGGUUGAACUUUCUGGCUAUAACAUGCAGGUUAGGCCAGAACGUUUGCCUUUGAUUUAUCCAGUGAGUAGCGAGCCAUGGUGGAAAGAUCCCAUGCUAUUCACUGGGCCGAUUGUUGAAGGGGAUGUCCAGUUGCGUCAUACGAUUAGGAAUGAUGAUCGUAAGUUAGUUGUCUGUAGUUUGAUGAUAGUUCGUCUUCCUGUUUCUGAACUUGAUGUCUUUGUAUUUUUUGCUGCAGCGAUUCGGGACGAUCAUCUUAGAAAAAACGAUCUGCAGUCUGCUCUGAACUGCUUUGGUAAGUUGACUGACGAGCGGAAGAUCUCGUUUCUGCCUCACCUAAAGGAGCAUUUCAUUCCUAAAGGUGGUCCAAAAACUGUGUUGGAAGAGCUCAAGAGGAGGAAAGCUUUGAAGAAAGUAUACAUGUCUUCUGUGCACAAAGCGAGUGGUGGGCGAACUGGUGGUAGUUCGCGAGCUGGUGAAGGAGAACGAGCAAGUGGUAGCUCGAAGCAAGCUGAAAGAGAGCGUUCUGUUGGUGCUCCUAGGAGGUCGGAAAAGGAACGACCUGUUGGUGCUCCUAGGAGGUCGGAAAAGGAACGACCUGUUGAGAAGGAUCGACCUGCGGUGCAGGAACGAUCUGUGGAGAGGGAGCUGCCUGCUGAGAAGGAGCGAGCUGUAGGUAGCUCUCGCCAGGCUGGAGUCGUGGCGAGCCCUCCAGUCUCAGGUCCACCCCCCUCACUUCCUAAGGUGGGUGCAUUGGCUGGGAAGAAGAGGUCCUUCUCAGGGAACCUUAAGCUGAUGGAGUUCCCAGCUAUGCCAACUCCUGUUUCUUCAAUUGUUGCGACGUCUCCUGGAAUGUCUGUGAUGUCCAGGAAGACUGCUGUUCGGCCUUCGCAGAAAGGCAAAGGUAUUCUGUCUGAAUUCCGCCCUGGGCCGUUCGAUUACUUGGACGGGCAAGGAGAGAAGCAUGUCGUGUACGACAACGACAGUGCUAUUGAUGACCCUUGUGUUGCCCGGGCUGUGAAUGAGGGUAUCGUACUGGAUGCUGAUGCCCGAAUGGUGAAGUCGCAGCCUUUGUUGGUGACCUGCUCAAAGAUAAACGGGGCACUUUCUUUGGUGAGUUUGAUCGUAAGUCGCAUUUGUUUUGAUUAUGCUUUGGUAUUUGUGCUAAAUGUCGUUUGGUGGUUACAGCUCAAUGCCAGCUUCCAGGAGGUGCGUCUGGUUGCUGAGAUUGGUGCUCAGGCUGAAAUUGAGAUGAAGGCUCUCAAUGAGAAGCUCGAGCAGGCGAGGAACAUUGCUGUCGUUGCUGAGUGUAAGGUCAAGGACAGGGAUGCCCAGGUCGCAGCUUUGAAGGAACAGUUGAGGGAACGUGAGGCUGCUUCCCAAUCUGCUGUUGAGUACUGGCAGAGGGUUUGUCAGGAGAAUGAAGCAGCGUGGAAGGCGUACUGCGAGCAGCUGGUCAAAGCUAUGACGGGAUCGCCCGAAGGAGAGGAGACGCGAGGUGGUGUUGAAGAGACUUCGGCGCCAGCUCAGGACAACUCGAUGGGCCCUAGUGACCAGGUCGCUGGAGCCCUUAUUGAAGCUGAUGCUUCAGGCGACCAGUCUGUGCAGCAAUGAGCUCGCCUUGGUUUCCCUUUCUUGUAUUGGGUAACCUUGUUUUCCCUUUCUUGUAUUGGGUAACCUUGGUUUCCCUUUCUUGUAUUGGGUAACCUUGUUUUCCCUUUCUUGUAUUGGGUAACCUUGUGCAAGGUUUGCUUCCUGCACUCAUUGUUGUUGCAGUAUGUCUUCCAUAGCCAAUUGUUGAGAGCCCCCCUUGUAAUCUUUGAGAGCUUGAUUGGAGAACUUCUUGUCUUUUGUAUUUGGAGUCAGUAAUCAGUUUUUACUUUGAUGAGAUUUGUAUGGAUUCCUUUUGGCCAGCUAGUUUCCAGGAAGUCCUGGUAGCUCGUUCAGAAGGCAGGUAGACGAGAUGAAUGGCUGCAAGUAGGACGCACUGAAACAGUUCCUCUUGUAUGCCUUGAUUCUAUUUUGGUUGUACCUGUAAUUGUUAAAAUCUCAUAAAGUAAAAGUUAAUUCAACUAUUUACCUUGCAUUGUUGAUUAUGUCGUUUUGUCUGCUUGAAUGGACUUGCAAACAAUAUGUGACAUUUGGUCGACCUGAUCGGGGGUUGAGGUCGCAUUUAACAUAAUUGUGCUUGGGUCGUGGGAAGAGAAAGACCAAUGCACCAAGUUAAGUUGCUAGUGAUUUAACUUAACAAAUUUUUAAAUUAUCAAAGGGACUAGAUUAUUGAUAAUUUGUAGGUCGAGGGAUUGGACCUUUAGUAGCCAUUCAUGUUUGAGCAGAGAUGAAGGCAAAAUUGAAUUUAUAGAUUGAAAUGUAAUGAAUGGAUGCUUACAUUUCACUGAUAAAAUUUCUUUAAAUGGAAAGCAUUCCACGGGUUCUUAACGAUCUCCCCUUCUGGUGUCUGAAGACGAUAAGAACCGUUGCUCUGGACUUUUGUGAUAAUGUAAGGACCUUCCCAAUUGGCGUUGAGUUUGCCGAUAGUGUCCUUUCUUUUGUUACUGAACAUUCUUCUUAAGACUAAUUCCCCUGGCUGGAAAGUUCUUGGUCGCACGCCUUUGUUAUAAGCUCGCUUGAGUCUCUGUUGGUAUUGCUCGAGCUUUAUAGUGGCGUGGUUACGUCGCUCUUCAAGGAGGUCGACACCAAACGACCAGAUCUGAUUGUUGAGCUCGGUGUCGACCAAAAGAGACUUGGUCGUUCCAAAUGUUAAUUCAGUGGGAAUAACAGCCUCAACUCCAUAGCAGAGACUGAAUGGUGACAUCCCUGUGGAUGUGCGAGGAGUUGUCCUAUAAGCCCAUAGGAUGUUCUCCAACUGUUGUGGCCAUUGAUCAUGCUGGUCUUCGAGCUUCUUCUUCAAAUUGGUUAGAAUCUGUCGAUUUGCAGCUUCAACCUGGCCGUUGGCUUGCGGGUACCUAGGAGUUGACCUUGAAUGCUCGAUUUUCCAGAGGUCGUAGAAUUUUUUGAUAUUCUUCCCAACGAACUGAGUGCCAUUGUCUGUGACUACUCGUUUAGGUAGCCCGAACCUUGUGAUGAUAUUUUCCCACAUAAAUCUUUGGACAUCUGCCUGUGUAACAUUGGUUAAGGCAACAGCUUCCACCCAUUUAGUGAAAUAGUCGACGGCUACUAGAACGAACCUCUUUUCAGACUUCUUUUCCUUGAUGAGGGGACCCAUGAUAUCAAGCCCCCACAUGUGGAAUGGCCAUGGUGCAGUGAUGUUGAUGAGAUCAUUUGGAUGCUGGUGUUGCUUAUCAGCAAAUCGCUGGCAUUCUUUACACUUCAAAACAAAUUUCUUUGCAUCUUCCUUCAUUCUUGGCCAGAAGUAUCCUUGAGAGAUUGCUUUAUGGGCUAAGGUACGCCCACCAGAAUGGUUUCCACAUUCACCUUCGUGGAUUUCUUCAAAUAUCAUCUGACCUUGCUUUGGGACCAAGCAUCGUAAUAACAAUCCAGUUGCUGAUUUCCUGAAAAGUUUGCCCUCAUGGAUUUUGUACAUUGUGACUUUAUGCAGCAAUCGACUGGCUUCCUUUUUGUCAGAAGGUAGGACACCAGUUUGCAAGUAAACCAUGAAAGGCUCGAUCCAAGUCCCCUGGAUGUCUGCCGGAGUUGUUUCAAGCAGAUCGGAAAUUUGAUGAAUAUCUUCUUCCUUGAAGAGAUAUGCGGGCUGCGAGUUGAUUGCUAUAGUUAGGGCCCGCGGUCUGUCUGAAUCGAUCUUAGACGCUAGAAAUGCCAGUGAGUCAGCAUGCCUGUUGUCAUCUCUGGGUAUGUGUUCAAUUGUGAAAUAGCUGAGCUUGCUGAUGAGCUCCUUUGCUUUGCUAGCAUACCUGAUGAGGUUGACCCCAUUGAUCUGGUAAUUGCUGGUAAUCUGAUUGACUACCAGCUGUGAGUCGCUGUACACCUUGAGACGAACUGCUUGCAAGUCGAUGGCCAUUUUUAAGCCUUGUAUUAGUGCUUCGUAUUCGGCCUCGUUGUUUGAGGUCGAAAAGUCCAGACGAGUUGCUCUUUCGAGCUGUGAGCCUUCAGGAGAGAUUAGCACACUACCUAUUCUACUUCCAUUGGAAUUGUGGGAACCAUCUACAUACAGCUGCCAAGUAUCUGGGGGGUUGUCUUGGACUUGCCUUGUUUCAGGUUCAGGUUCCCAAUUGACAUCUUCUGCUGGAUAGUCUACCAAAAAUUCUGCAACGACCUGACCCUUGACGGCCUGUCUUGAAACGAACUCGAAAGUGUAAUCACCCAGCUCGGCUGCCCAUCGAGCCAUACGACCUGUUUUGUUUUUCUUUUCUAGUAUGUGGCGUAAUGGCUGAUCGGUGAUUACUUUUACAGUGUGUGCUUGGAAAUAAGGCUUGAAUUUGCAUGCAGCGUAAAGUAAUGCUAAUGCUAACUUCUCCAGAGGUGUGUACCUUAUUUCAGCCUGCUGUAAGACUUUGCUUGUGAAGUAGAUAGGUCGUUCCACUUGAUUUUCUUCUUUGAAAAGUACUGCGCUUAUCGCAAAAUCUGAUGUUGCGAGGUAAACGCCAAGUAUAUCACCAUCUAUUGGUCUUGUAAGAACUGGUGGAGUAGACAGAUAUGCCUUGAGAUCAUCGAAGGCUUUCUCGCACUCUUCUGUCCACUCAUAUGUAGCCCCCUUCUUUAAGAUAUGAAGCAUUGGUCUACAUUUGUCUGAUGCUCUGGAGAUGAAUCUGUUCAGAGCUGAAACCAUGCCGUUGAGCUUCUGGAUUUGUUUCUUUGUUUUUGGACUUGGCAUGUCGAUCAGGGCUCUGAUCUGGUCGGGAUUUGCUUCGAUGCCUCGUCUGGUGACUAAGUAGCCUAGGAAUUUUCCUGAUGCGACCCCGAACAGACACUUUUCUGGAUUAAGACGCAUUCUGUAUUGCCUUAAUCUUUGGAAUGCCUGGUCAAGGUUGUACAAAUGAUCUCGUUCUUUGUCGCUCUUCACUAGCAUGUCAUCAAUGUAGACUUCCAUUGUUCGACCUAGGAGGUCGUCGAACAUUCUGGUGACCAGUCUUUGGUAGGUCGCCCCUGCAUUUCUUAGCCCGAAUGGCAUGACUUUGUAACAGAAAAUACCUUGCUCAGUUGUGAAAGAGGUCUUUUCUUGAUCAGGCUCGUACAUUGGGAUCUGAUUAUACCCUGAGUAUGCGUCCAUGAAUGACAGUAGCUCAAAACCGCAUGUCUGAUCGACUAGCCUAUCGAUUCGUGGCAGUGGGAAUGAAUCUUUAGGACAAGCUUUAUUCAAGCUUGUGAAGUCGAUGCAGACCCUUGUUUUUCCAUUCUUCUUUAGGACUGGGACUAUGUUGGCUAGCCAGUCUGGAGUAUCGACUUCUCUGAUGAAGCCGACCUGUUUGAGUCUAUUGAUCUCUUCAUUGACGGCUUCGUGAAACUUGAGAGCAAGUCUCCUUGGUUUCUGCUUCACAGGUCGAUAAUUGGGAUUGACCCGUAGCCUAUGGCAUGCAAUUGAUGGAUCUAUUCCGGGCAUAUCGAUAUACGACCAAGCAAAAACAUCUUUAUUCAUUGAAAGAAAAUUUACAAAAUGAGCGAACUUAUCUUCUUCCAUUUCUGAACCUACAUAGACAUACCUUGGGUCCUCAUCUGACCCAAUGUUAACUCGGACGCCUGGAUCGGUGCUUCCGAGACUCAGCUUGGGGGAGCUCGCUUGCUCCUUCUGUAAUUGCUAUUUAGCAGGUUCAGCUUUUUCCUUGGAUGGGCUCUUUGACUUGUUGCCCUCCUGAGCCUCUGUUGGGACUAGGCUCUUUCCUUUGACAUCACCAUCCUUGACUCCAGAGGUGGAUGGCUUUGACGAUGGGACAGCUUCAAUAACACCGUGGCAUUCUUGUGCGGUGUUCUGAUUGCCGCGGAGUUCCAUUAUCCCAUAAGGGCCGGGAUAGCGGAAUACCUGAUGGUAAGUUGACGGCACUCCUCUCAUAGCAUGGAUCCACUUUCGACCCAGAAUCGCAUUGUACUUGCUUGCGAUAUUCAGGACGCUGAACUUGCUGGUUACAACGACCUUAUCUUCCCUUCUGCCUACAGUGACGGGCAGAAGGAUCUCCCCCUUAGGGUCUUCCCUUGAACUAUUGAAGCCAAGGAUCGGUGUGAAGUCUGGGAUGAGCACUGAAUCGGGCAGCCUCAUGUCCUUGAAGGUUCGGUACAUGAGAAUGUUACAUGAAGCUCCAGGGUCAAUGAAUACCCUCUUGAUUGUGUAAUCCGCAAUUCUGAGUUCAACGACUAGGGCGUCGUUGUGCGGAGUAACGACCUUAUUGAGAUCGUCUUCAGUGAAGGUGAUGUCAGUCUCUUGCCGGGCAGGGAUGUUGAAGCGAGCUGCUCGGCCACUGAUAGCGUAGACAUGGUGGAGAUGUUCCACUCGCCUCUUUUUGUCCCUAGAGACAGGGGUGUGAUGAGAUUCGUCAAUCAUGUAGACCACAUGACUGUCCGAGUCGCUGUCGAUGUCAACCUUGUUUGCGACCUUCUUGUUUAUAUGAUCGCGUAGGUCGCCUGUUGGACCUAAGCGCUGGGAGAGGCUACGCCCUCUGCUGCGUGCUGGGCUUGCGGAGGCCGCUCUGGCCUUGCUCUGACCCUGCUUUGGUGAACGAGGAGGGGUUCUGGAUUCCUUCCUCAUUCUCUUGCCUGUGGACUCCUCAUUCCUUCCGAGGAUCCAGUUGUUGAGCCUUUUCUCAUCGGCCCAGGUUUGAAGUGCGCGCUUCAGGACGCGACAGUCAUCAGUCUGAUGACACCGUACUUUAUGGACUUUGCAGUACGGGCGACCAGAUGUAUCCUCCAGCUGUGUGAAGGCAGGAAUUUUGCACCAAUGGUUGUGCUUGAUCCUUUCGAAGAUAUAACCGGCUGGUCGCGUAAACCGGUGAUACUCUCGCUGCUCGGUAGGCAGCGACUUAGCUUUGAACCUCUUUCCUUCUGAUCGAGGUCGUUUGCUUGAGCCAGCCUCAAUGUUGCUGACUACAUGGUUCUUCUCCCUCCCAGUGAGGGCUUCUUCUAGCUUAAUAUAACGAUCUACCUUUAGGUAGAGCUCGUCAAGUGAUGAAGGUCUCUUCAUUGCCAGAGACUUGUGCAGGUCGGACCCUUGGAUCAGUCCGUGAGAGAAAGCAAUAGUUGCAAAGGUCUCAUGCUCCUUUGCGAAAUCCUGAAUGGAAUGUAACUCAGAUUUAAAAUGUGCAAAGAAAACGCUAAGUGACUCACCAUCCUUCUGCUUGACUUUGAAGAUGGAGUCAAUGGUAACAGGGCGCUUCUUAUUGUGGAUGUAGAAGAUGACGAAUUGUUUUUCAAGCUCUGCAAACGAGCUGAUGGAUCCUGGCUUCAGUUGAUGAAACCAGUCGAGAGCUGGUCCAGUGAGGCUGGACUGAAACAGCAAACACAAAAGAUGAUCCUCCUUUAUCAGAGGAAGGGAUUUUCGGAAUCCCUUGACAUGGUCGGUUGGAUCUCCGACUCCUGCAUACUGGUCGAACUUUGGGGCAUUCAGCUUGUUCGGCAGAUCAUGUUCCAGGAUCUCGUUGGAGAAAGGAGACUCCUGGAAUUGUUGAAGGGACUGCACAGCAAGUUGCUCUGCAGUGUGGCUCUUGGACCGGUGAAGGAGAGCCUGAGAUGCUUUGAACUCCGCCAGCUGCUGGCUGAGUUGCUCGAACUUUUGGUUGGAAUCAUCAGCAGGGAUGACUCCAAGUCCGCUAUUUUCCCCUUGCUGAGGGUUGGUUUGAGCGGCUUUUAAACGCUCAUUUUCUUCCUGCAGACGUGUAAUUUGUGCCUGCAGAUCUUGGAUGGUGACUUCCUGAUUGGACAUUUGAUCGAGUGAUUUUUGAUUUAAGGGUGGGAGGGUUUUGGGUUUUCGAUUAUAUCGAAUUCCUUGCAGUCGGCGCCAAAUGUAUUAACCUAUUUCUAGAUUAAUGCAUCAACAGGGUCAGGUCGUUAUGGAGACUUGACCAAAUGGGGAUAUUGGAGAUUGGGGUGGCUGCACCUCGUUGAGAUCGAGAUUGCCUACGUACUCUAGCUCGGGGGAAUUGAACUUCGAGAUCAAGCCAUCGUAGUUCUGUUUAUAUAGAAGAUGGAAGGGCGUGGAUCGUGGAUCUUGCAGAUUCUCCGCCAUCAUAAUGAUGAUUAAAUGUGUAACGCGCGAGGAUCAUCCCUGUGAAUUAAUUCUGUAACUGAUGAGAAUAUUCUGUGCAUUGAAUAGGAGCACGUGUGAAUAGUAGGUCGCUGGUCGUUGCGUAGUCUGGUCGCUUUAGUCGAGCUGCGAGUGGGUAGAGAUCGUGGCGACCUGACGGAUGGAUGACUGUGCCACGUGGCUGCUUUUGAUUGGUCGGAGUAUGUAGUACCCCUACAAGCGUUUCUGUCCAAUCGCUACAUAGACACAAUACAAUGUUAAUCAUCGGAACCAAGAACGAGCUAAUCUCCAUCUCCAUAUUCGAGUCCAUCGACAGAAUCCACUGCUUCUUCCCCUGGCGAUUCACCGGAACCGAAGCAAUAAAAUGAACAUCCAUGUUAACUAUGCAGGCAUGCCUCUUUUUUUCUUCUGUUUCUUUUUUUCUUUUUGGUUAAGAAGUCUUAAUCUGAUAUUUGUAACUGAUUUCUAAUUCACAAAAACACUACAUUGAUGGAAGUUGCAUUUGCUCCAGUCUCCAACCCCCACUCGCCACAUUGAUCUGGUUUUGAAUAUUAGAUACAUCAAUCUAAACUAAGAAAAAUGCGAGCUGAGCCAGAACGGCAGACUUGGACAACAGGAGAUGUGGACACUAAUUGUUUUUUUUUUUUACUGGUUAUCUCGAGUGUUACUGGCUGCUACAGUAGGUUCAGACACUUGAAAUUGUGUUGGUUCCAAUCUUGACGAAGAAAAUUAUGAAAAAGCUAAAGUGCGUCAAGAAGUUGAAGAGGUCACAGAGUAGUGAUUGUAAAACCUAUGAAACUGGAGAAAGCCCAAGUGUAUUUGGUUCCCGGCCAGGUCUUAAGAAAGUUCAAGGGAGUGACCUCGAUGCUUAACAGUACAUUGGUUACAGUUCAGAUAAGAAGACUUGCCAACCCCUUCAUAAUGAAGGGUUACGGUAAUAUACCAACACAUUACUCUGGUUCAAAAGGUAAUAUACCAUAAGAUUUUGUCAUUAUGGCACUUAGUUCAUGGAGCACUUUGGUACGUACUUUUUAGAGCUGGGGAUGAGGACUGGACUGUAAUAGAAGAUCAAGAAUAUCAGAUCCUAAAUGGGGGUAGAUAACGCAGGAAGAGUUUGUAUUAAUUGUUGAUCCCAACACUUGAAAUGGGGACUCAAGUAGUCUAGUAGUAAAUUCUUUGGUUGAUGGUGGUUGGAAAAAAAAAUAUAAUGGAGAAUUGUUUCUGGUUGAUAUUUGUAGAUUUUAUGAUGGUGGACAACAAAUUCCAAAAAAUUACAUAUUGUACUGCACUACUGUGGCCAAACUUAUACCGACUGACUGCAAAGUGUUUAAGCUUGAUGAAAGGAAAGAACAUUGGGUUCAGGUAGGUAGUGGAUUUGGAAAAUGUAGUAGUGUUUCUGCAAAGUGUUCAAGUUUGAUGUAUUUUAUUUCGGCAUCAGACUUUGGAUGUACUGUACAUGUUUGCAAACUUGAACUCAGAUGAUGGUACUUUCCAAGAGUUACCAUUACCCAGCUUGGAUGCCGCCAUGCCGGUGAGCAGCAAUACACGACAGGGGGAGCAAAAGAGAUAAUUUUUUUCGUGUACAGUACUGGUCUAGUGGUCUUGCAUUAUUGUGGGAGUGUUCUGGCAGUAAUUUUCAUGAUGAUGCCUUGUCCAAAAUCCUUUAGAAAAUAUUGGGAAUUUGGGCCGGACCUUUUCAAUAAUUUCAUAUGAAAAAGGGCUUUGAGCCCAAUAUCCGCCUUAUUUUGACUAUACAAAGACUACUUUGACCUUAAAUGACGCGUACAUUAUUAUGGUUCGCGUACUCGUUACGCAAAGUUCUGCGUAUAAGUGUAUAACUAAAGUACCCGAUGUUUUCCUCUUUAUAAAUAAACCUACUACCUUCUCCCGAACUUUUUCUCUCUUGGUCUCUUUCUUGCUUCGGUUUCGUAUGAUUUUGGUGAAUCGAUGGUUCUGCGUACAAUGUGACCACUCGACCGAUCCUGAUAAUUAGUUGCAAGGCAAAGCCAUGUGAUCCUUCAUCAGGCAUGCUGCUAAACCAUCUUAUCAAGCAAUGAAAAUAAUUAAUCAUCAUUAAAUCAGAUUAGAUAACACGGCAGGUCGGCAGGUCGGCAGCCUCAGCAGUCAGGACCUUUUCAAUGUCAGCACACUUUAUCUUCAAUCUUCAUACUUAAGCAAAAUGAGAAAAUGAGGAUAUUGCAUAAACAUAUAUGUACUUUAAUUAUAUUCAAUGACUACAUUUUAAAUGGUUGUGAUUCAAUCAGCACGUAUCUGUAAAAUAAUCCAUUACACCUUAUGUGGGCUAAAGUUUCUAAAUGGCAGGUCAAAAUAUGUGCAACGUGACCUUUUGCAAUUCCCAUCUGGAUGAUGAGCACCGUACGUAGACAAACCAUGUGAGAAUCCAUAAGGGAUCCUAUUCAAUGUAGCCCUUGCAAAUGAUUCCCAUCCAUAUAUAUACAACUAUGAUAAUAAGGCUGCCUCACAUUCAGUUGUAUUUCGUAUCCAAUAACUUUCAAAGCUUUCUUUGUUUUUCAGCAUCUCUGCAAUACUCCACCAGACAAUGGGAACUUGUCUACCAGUUAUUUUUCAGGCCAAGCAAAUUAUUCGCCGGGUCAUUUUGGCUCCAAUUGCCACAGAUGUUCCAAAAGGACACUUUGCAGUUUAUGUAGGAGACAACCAAACCAAGAAGAAGCGAUAUAUAGUUCCAAUAGCAUAUUUAAACCAAGCUUCAUUCCAACAAUUGCUAAGCAAAGCUGAGGAAGAGUAUGGAUAUCAUCAUCCAACUGGUGGUCUCACAAUUCCAUGCAAUGAGGAUCUGUUCAUCAACCUCACUUCUAAGUUGAAUAGCACAUGAGAGAGGAGGGGCAAAGGGGACAUAAUAUGGUGGCAAAGAAAUCAGUUGAUGUUCCUCCCAAUAUUUUGUCACAUCAAACGACUUGCAAGAAAAAAUGUCUCCACAAUUUUGUAGAGUAGGAUUUAUAAAGAUUCAAAAUCAUGUGAAUAGAUGUUUUGUAUAUUAGAUGGUCAUUACAGGAUAUCCAUGUACAUUCUACUUAAAUGUAAUGGGUCAAGCAUGCAGUUUAAUUUGUAUGUAGGCUUCCUUUUAGUUUAGCAUGUUAUACUUACCGAUUAAUUCUUAAAGAGUAUCAGUUUGAUUACUUGAUGAUGCUUAAAUGAUUAAACAAUGAUUAGCAUCAACCAACAUCAGAAUUCUAUUAAACACUGAACCAUCUAUCCUAUUAAGCUUUUAGAUCUCAGAAGUGCCAUCCAUAUAUGUUAUCAACAAGGGUGACCUGUCGUAUAAUACUCUUGGUUGAACUCGUGUCCGGGAACAAGAUUUUUGACAACUUAAUUCCUGCAUAACAUAACAGGUUUUUUUUCUUUCAUUUUUCUUUUCAUGACAAGGGGACUUUUUCCAUAGGAAAAAAGAAGAGUAGAAAGUAGAAUCUUAAAGGAGUUUUGCAUACGUAUGUUCUGCAUAGAAUGCGGCAUUUAAGGUAGUUGCUACAAGAUCAAUACAGAUACACACACACUCACACACACAAAGACCUAAGAGUACGUUUUACCUGAGAGAUGAUGUAAGAGCCUGAAGUGCUUAGUACUCUGUGAGACUAUUUAUGGAGUGAACUGGUGCUGGUGGAUUUAUCUCGUCAUAACAAGAAGAGAACAGUACCGCAAAGAGAUGUCCUCUCAAUCUGCAAAUAGAUCAUUAGGGAGAUAAGCUUAUAUAAUAUUUCUUGUUACAAAAUCAAGGUUAUUUGAUAAGAAUGAAUAUCAUCACUGCAAGAUUAUCUUUAACACUGAUACAAAAAGAACUAGAGAUAAGGACAAAUAUGUAUAAGUUUGUUUUCAAAGAAGCGGGCACACAAAAAGCUACAUUUAUACUAUAGGAUUUCAACCAAAAAGAAGAAAAAGAAGUGCUCUCAAAUUCACAAAAGGCGAACCUAGUCAGUCUAAAUCAUCAGUUGCAUCCCAUGAUAAGAGAACUAUAAGUCAUACACCUAUUUUGUAAAAACUGUACUUAGAAAAGAAGAGUAGGAAUAGAAACAGCGGAAGAUAAGAGAAAUUGUUUCUAUUAUAUAAUGUUGUCAAAGGAGACAUUGUAAUCUCAGUCUCUUGUAUCUCUUUACAUAAAAAUAUUUACAUGUUUGCAAACUCAAGUUGUCACAAAAAUGAUGGUUAAGCUAAGAUAAAUCAGUCUCUGCAAAACCCUAACUUUGCCGUGUUUUCUCAAUUCUCAUCAUCUGACUCAAAUCAACUGGCUAGUUAUAUCAAUGAAAGUGUCUUCGUCACAUGGGAUAGUAAGACCACCCAUUGGGUGAUUGAACCCGAACUCUUCUUCAGCUUGAUUUAACAAGGCAUGGAAUAAAGGAUGGUUUAAGUAUGAAAUUGGAACCACAAAUCGUUUCUUUUGAUUCUCUCCAACAUACACUGCAACAUGACCUUUUGGAACACUUGCGGUCUCGGAAUUUGAAAGAGACCGUCGAAGACCUUUCUUGAUCUUAGGAAUACCGGGUAAACGAAUAGCCAUGGAUGCUGGAAGAAUAACAAGCAAAAGACAGGAAGACUAAAGGGUGUCUUAGACUGAGAAAAUGUUUAUUGCCCUGGAGUUGGAUGGUUAUUGUGAGAUGAUAGAUAUGCAUAUAUAUAGAGAAGAACGGUAUUUGAAAAGUUCCUUCAUCAUGUGAAUAAUAAACAUUCGUAGGUCAAUUUCAGGGUCAUACCUUGCGAGGAAUCACAUGGUUUUGUUUAAUAUCUUUAAACUUAUUGUCUGGAUGAUCAUAUUGACCCAUUGUUUUAUUGCAGAAACAACACGCCCUACCACCCAAAAGAAAGGAAAAUCAAUGCUAAAUUAUGGUAAAUAUGAAUCUAUACAAUAUUUGUGGUCAAGUAAGAGUGAUUAUGUGGUAUACCCAUAUUCUUAUUUAAUCAAACAAUGAAUUAGAUUAACUCCAGAUAUACGGUGACAGUUCAUCUGUUGCCACUAGAAACACACAUUAUUUUUGUGAGGACCAGUACAUAAUGUUUCCACAAAUGAUAGAUCGCAGUGCCUGGAAACAUAGAACACAAAUAUGACCACUUGACUAAUCUUGAUAAUUAGUUAGUUGCAAGGCAAAGCCAUGUGAUCCUUCAAGAGGAAUGUCGUUGAACCAGUCUAUCGUAGAAAUGGAAAAAAUUCUUCAUUAUUAAGUCCACAUUUGACUAGACUAGCUCCUAAAAAAUCAAUGACCCUUUUUCAAUUUCAACACAACUUUAUAAUGAAAAAUUAUAAAUCAUUGAACAAAUCAAAAAUUAGUAUUCUAUAACUUGUUUAGAAAAAUGUAAAUCAAAGAACGAAUUAAUAAUUAAAUUCAAUUAAAAGAACAUUUCAAUUAGAAAGAUCAUCAAUUAGUAAUUUUUUAUUUUUUUUUCAAUAUAAACAAAUAAAUUAAAAAUAUAGAAAGCAUGGAGAGAAUUAAUGCAAAUAAAAAGGAGGUUAGGUUAUUACCUAGCUGAUCUUAUGAAGAAACUCUACACUGAGAAAAUUGAAACAAGUAUAAACUAUAAACCCUACACGAUGAAGAAGAAGAGCAGAGAACCACAUUGUUUGGCGGGAACGAAGCAAAAACCCUAAUUCAGAGCUUUGAACAGUGAUCACAGUGUACCAUUUUUCUAGCGGGAACGAGUAAAUGGGCUUUUGAUAGCAUUAUCCAUGGGCCUGUUUGUUAUGGUUUGUAGUUUAUAUACUUUAUUGGAAAAAAAAAAAAAAACUGAACUGAACUGAACUCAUCAAGGUUCUCUUUUCUGUAAAAAAGAAGGUACUUUUUUCUAAUCUAGCUAGCUUUAAUGUUUUCUAGGUUAAUAUGCAUUUGUUUACUUCAAAUAUUUUAUAUUAAUUUUUUCUUGAAAUUGUCAAUUAUGCAUUUCUGUGAUUUGAAGUUUCAUAGUUUGAAACACAGGAUCCUUUGUUGUUAUUAUUAUUUUUUUUUAUUUAUUUUGGGUGGUAUUAUUGUCUUGUUCUUGAGUUUAUUUCAUGUCCUAAUUCCUAAACUAUUAAUAAAUUGAAAAAAAAAGAAAAAAAGAAGAAGAAGAAGGCUUAAAGAGUUUAAUUGAUUACAAUGUGUGCUGAAUUAGUACUUAAAAACUUGCUGCAUUCUCAUCAACAUUGCAAGUUGAGUCAUGAUUUUGAUGGCUUGGUUAGCUGCGCAAGGAAGUUUCUUAUAUAUGCAGAAAUAAAAAUUAUGGAUGAUUGUAAAAAAAAAAAAAAACAUAAAUGAGUUGCUUGUUAUAAUAGGAAACCAAGAGUAGUAGAAACAAGUGAUAUGGCGAUUUUGUGGGUCUUAUAAAUAAUUGGGGAAGAACAAGGGGCACCCAAGACACUGUAAUUUUUGAGUUUUCCCUCUCUGUAUUUCCUGGGUUUUAGGACUGUUCAUGGUGAACUUUCUCCAUCACCAGGACAUUGUAAACUUAUCAAUGAAGUUUUAACUUAACAAAAAAAAAAAAAACAAAAAAAAAACAAAAAGAGAUACAAAACUUUUUCUCGUAUAUUAUUGAAUAUAAUGUACAUUUUGCUAUGACUCCAUACCAAUAUGCAAUAGGUACAUAUUUACAGAACUGACAACUCAAUAAUCGGCUAAUCACAAAACUGCUAGUUUAGAUUGGAAGAGUAAGUGACCCAUCACAAAAGAAUCAAUUGGCCAGUUAAAUAAAUGAAUGUGACUUCGUCGCAUGGGAUGGUGAGACCACCCAUUGGGUGGCUAAACCCAAACUCUGCCUCGGCUUGAUUUAACAAGCCUUGAAAUAAAGGAUGGUUCAAAUAUGAUAUUGGUACCAUAAAUCGCUUUUUCUGCUUCUCUCCAACAUAAACAGCAACAUGGCCCUUUUGAACACUUCUGGUCUCUUCUGAAUUUGAUAGAGACCGUCUAAGACUUUUCUUAAUAUGAGGAACACCAGGUAAACGAAUAGCCAUUGAUAUUGAUGUUGUAGGAAUAACAAGAAGAAAUGUCUAAGUCUAUUGGUGUGGGAGAAAAAAAAUUUCAAACUUGGAGUCGAAUGAUAUUCUAAGCUGAUAGGUUUGUAUAUUUAUAUAGAGGAUAUUGGUACAUGACAAACUCCCCCAUGAAACAUCCAAAGAUCAAAUGCCUUGUGAAGGGUAACAUUACAAAAUGGUGUAAAUAUAAUGAUCUAUGUUUUGUUGCAAAAACUAAAUGCUCAAAUUCGAAAGUGAUGACCCUUUUUCGUUCAUAUCAAUGGGCCGAUAGGACAAACAUAUGAAUCUUUAAAAAUCUUCUUGUUGGUGAACUAAACGACUAAUAUUAAUGCUAAAUUUCUAUAUCAUAAGAAAUAUAGUAAUAUAAAAAACUGAUCCAUAACAAGAAAAGUUAUAUAAAACAACUAACUGUACAGUCUUUGUACCUUUGAUCCCAAAGCUUUGUUUGUGUAAAUCCCAGUUGCCACAGAUGUUCCGAAAGGUCACCUUGAAGUUUAAGUACAGGAGACCAAGAAGAAGCGAUACAUUGUUCACUUGUUCCGUAUCAUUCUGGACCCAACCUGAAUUCCAAGACUCGCUUAGAUACUAUGUACGGACUGGUGAAUUUAUCUAGGCUUCAAAAAAGUUGCGUCAACCAGAUGCCUGCCUACAUAGAAAACAGAGUUAGUGAUAUUUAUUGUUUGAUCUAUCGAUGGGCGGAUAGGACAAACACAAAUCUUUGUCAAACUUAUAAUUUAGAUGCCACAAUUGAUUGUGGGAUAUUGAAUAAAACAAUGCCCACACUUCUUUUUUUCAUGCAGCGAGACACCACAUUCUGUGGUCUUUGGGGUAUAAUACUCUUUUUGCUUGGUUUGCCCAAGAUGGCUCGAGGGCUAGUUCACUGUUGGCGGAAGCCAAUGUCCCGGGCUCCCAGGGACAUAUUCUGACUGAAACAAGGGGUGGGUCUUUACCGACUUCCAAAUCCAAGAUUUUUUUGAAGCCUGACAGCCGCAAAUCCAGUCUUAUACACCCUACCUGUUCUAGUUCUUGCAGGGUUCCUGCUCCGAGCCCCCCACAAAGUUUGGUGUGCUUUCCUUAUGUGAUUGACGAGUCAUGAUUAAGAAGAUCAGUCACAAGCUAUCCUUCUUGUGCUAGUAAUUUAAGGGUGUACAUUCACAUUAAUACGAAUUAUGGGAACAAGUAGGUUAACGUAUGAAGUAGAGCCUUCUAUAAUGUCUCCUAAUGCUCACCGAGUAGAUUGACGAGUGCAGAAAUCUCAUGAUGAUUGUGAAUGAGGGAAGCAACUACCAUUUCCUUAGGAAUAUUCUCCCUGUAAGAUUCAACUUGAUUUAACUUCAUUUGCAAUAAUCAUCUAGAGGUCAGCUUCCCUACUCUUUUAAUUGAACAUAUGGAGUUUUUAAUGUCAUAUUUUUAACGCUUGCUACUGGUAAAUACAUGCCUGUGCCUGUAGUGAGAAUCUUUUUGGAUGGUUGACUGAUUUAUUGCUGGAUACACUAUUGGAAACCAUUUUUCUCUGAUUCGCAGUUCACUUUAUGGAUUUUUUUUAUUUCAAUCCAAUCAUAUGUAUAAUUGCUAAAUGAAGAAUCACACGAUAUAUCAUAACAAAUGGGUAAACAUAACUGAGAUUAUCAACAAGAGAAAGUUCAGGGAAUGACUUGUAUCUAUAUUUAGUGUUAACAACAAAUAGUAUCAAAAAUGGUUCCUUCAUUGAUGUUGUGUUAGGGAGACACCUGCAUUGUUUGCGUCUUGUAUCUCUUAUACAAGUGUAUUUACAUGAUUGACUACUCUAAUUUCUCACAAAAAGGAUGGUUUUUUUUUGAAGGGACCAGCCCCAUGGAGCCAUAUUGGUGCAGAAUCUAACAAUUAUCUGAAGGCCAUCAACUGGCCAGUUAGUUGAAGAAAAGAGUCUUCAUUGCAUGGAAUUGUGAGGCCGCCCAUUGGGUGAUCAAAUCCAAACUCUUCCUCGGCUUGAUUUAACAAGUCUUGGAAUAAAGGAUGGUUCACAUAAGAUAUUGGAACCACAAAUCGCUUCUUUUGAUUCUCUCCAACAUAAACAGCAAUAUGGCCUUUUGGAACACUUGCAGUCUCCUCUGUAUUUGAAAGAGACCGUCGAAGGGAGCUUCUUUUCAUAUGAGGAAUAGCAGGUACGCGAAUAGCCAUUGAUUCUCUGCUAGAAGAACAAGUAAGAAAACAAAUUGAUAUUAAAUGGUCUCUUGUUAAGAGAGUAUGUUGAAUUGGAAUUGGAUUGUAGUCUUUGCUGAUGGAUGUGUUUAUUUAUAGUGUGUAUAUGGUACUUGACAAAUUCAAAGGUGACAUGCCUUGUGAAGGAUCACAUGGUUUUGUACUUUUGUCUGACUCCUUCAACGUCAUGUAUCGAGUGACGAAAGUAAUCUCUGUCUUGUUACAAGAACAAGAUUGCCCUACCUAGAAAACAGAGUUGCAGCGAUGACCCUUUCUCAUUUAUAUCGAUGGGCCACUAGGACAAACAUGAAUCUCUGUCAAACUUAUUGUUAGCCCUACCAGUAGGACAAACAUUAAUUUUAGAGUUAUAUUCACGACAGAUAGUUCUAUCUAAACAUGUUGCCUUUUGGACAUCACCAAUGGUUUCCCUUCGUAAAAUGCGGACCCUUAGUAGAUGAGACACACUUUGUAUUGUUUAAUAUUAGGGUUUUAGACUUCUGGUCAUACUGUUGAUUUUAUGGAAUCUGAUUGUGGUAGUCCAAAUGUGUUAUUUCUCCUACAUUCUUGGAAACUCAUUGGAGGAAAAACUCGGAAAUUUCAUAACCUUACUAUGAAAUGUUUGAACCAAUUAGGGUUAGGCAGUACAGCAGUUACAGGAAACAUCCCCCCUCCCCCACCUCCAACCUCACGCCGAGCUGAAGUGGGUUGGGACUUGGGAGUCUUUGAAAGCUUGGUCAACAUAAAUUUUAAUUUUGUAGAUGAUAUUCCUCUGAGUAAAGAUGUCAACCCACUUAAUUAGUCUUCUCUGGGAUAUAGUUGAGUGAUAGAACCAGUUUUCUAAUGUAGUUAAAACAGUUUUCUUAUAUAGUUGGUAGUUACAUUCUCUGUAUUUGGUUAUGGCAUGGAACAUGUUAUACAAUGACACAGAACUAUUAUUGUUUUGCUACAUUCCUUGAUCCUUAAUUUAUGAAGUUUUGCAUACAAAAAUGAGACUAGAUCACCCAAACAGUUAUAGGGGGUUGUUUGUGAAAACCUUCACCCCUUAACCCUGCCAUUCUUGUAUAAACUUUAAAAGAAGAGGGACUUAUGGCCCACUUUGCGCUAUUUGACUUCCCUGUGUAUCUUAGAGACAUUGAUUAUAUAAGUGUUACUGCAUUCACUCGUCAACACUACUGCAAUUAGGAUUUUGAUUAUGCGACUUGAUUUACUAAUAGCAAAGUUUUGUAUUAGUUUUUACAUAUUGGGAUAUAAUAGAUUUUUUUUUUUUUUUUUGAUAGUCUGCGAUAUAAUAGAUACUUUGCAGCAAAUACUGUAUGCGGAAGGAAUGCAAGGUCAUUUGCAUAGCAAUAUCUUUUUGUUAUCAAAUAGCGCGACUUUUACCUUUUAUCAUUAUAAAAAGUGGAUAGAAGUAGAAACAAAAUUUCUGUUGACAAUGUUGUUACAGAAGAGUAAUUUUUCUCUGCUUGCCUAAUACUGUAUCUACACUAAAUACUACAUGACUGACAACUCCAUUAUCAUGAAAGUGCUGGUGUAGUUUGGAGUUUACCCAAUCAGUCCCUACAAAACCCUAACUACUCUGCCGUAGUUGCUCUUCAUUGGACUCACGAAGGAAUUAGUCGACUAGUUAUUUCAGUGAAGGUGUCUUCAUUGCAUGGAAUGGUGAGACCACCCAUUGGGUGAUCAUAUCCAAACUCUUCUUCAGUUUGAUUUAACAAGUCUUGGAAUAAAGGAUGGUUCAAGUAUGAUAUUGGCACCACAAACCGCUUCAUUUGAUUCUCUCCAACAUAAAUGGCAAUAUGGCCUUUUGGAACACAUGUUGUCUCUUCUUUGUUUGAAAGAGACCGUCUUCUCUUAAUAUAAGGGAUACCAGGUAAGUGAAUAGCCAUUGAUGCAGCAAGAAGAAGAAGAGGAAGUUAAAAGCAGUGAAUAUUGGAGGGCUAAUUGGGCUAGAGAGAAAGUUGGUUAACUUGGAGUUGGAUGGUAGUCUAAGAUGAUAGAUGUGUAUAUUUAUAGUGUGCAAGCAAUGAAGGUACAGUACUUGACAAUAUCAAAGGCGACAUGCAUUGUGAAGGAUCACAUGGAUUUGUCUGAUAUUUUCGAUGUUGAUUAUGAAGCUGUUAAAUGAUCUGUGUUUUGUUGCAAGAAUCAGAUGUCCCACCUAGAAAACAAAAUAUUAGUAGUGAGUGGUGACCUUUUCAAUAUAUCGAUGAGCCAAUAGUUGUGAGUGGUACUAUUCCUUUGGUUCUUUAGUUGGAUUUAAAGUCAAUGUACUUAACUUUGAUUAAUCAGAUACUGAGGAAUGAGGAUCUGGUACUUUACAGUUUCAAAGUGACAUUCCUUGUGAAGGAUCACAUAGUGUUGUCUGAUGUCAUGUACGAAAUGGUGAAAUUAUCGAGGCUUUGUUGCAGGAAUAAGAUGCCGUAAUUUUUACUUGGUAAACAUACUUAAAGUAAAACACCCUGACAGAUCUCUUUGGACCGUUGUUUAUAGAAAUCAUUUGUACCCAUAAAUCCAUUUGCCUGGGAUGCUUGAUGCCGGCCAAUAGAUUCUCUGAUACGUUAUUUUCAGUUCAAGUAUCACAAAGGCUCCACAAUCUAGACCUUUAUGUAUUUUAUUGGGCGAGAAACCGACCGUAAAAAUUCCAUAAAUGUUUUCAAUAUCAUCCCUGCCCAAACAACCCACAUUACAGGACUUUCUAAGUAAAGCUGAAGAAGAGUUUGGAUAUAAUCAGCUGAUGGCAGUCUUACCACUUUUUAUACAGAGUAAUGGUAAUUGGUCCAUAGUGCUCUGUAUAUAAUAUACAAUGGCGUCUGGAAAUUCAUCUUUCCUAUUGCACUAAUAUUGUAUAAAUGGAUUAUAGCAAGGAUUUACUUGCAAAGUUAAACAAAAUCUUACUUUGUGCAUUUAGUGCUUUGACUGUGUAGACAAACAAAUCAUUUAACCCUGCAGUACUUGAGAUUAUACAUUGAAGUCCUGUGUACUUGGGAAAUAAUUUAUGCAUUACUUCUACCCUACUGAUAGGCUUCAUGAAAGAUCAAAUGAUUUUGUGUAUAUAGUCAAUACUCGGUAGAGAAAUAAAAAGGGUUAGUAAUAUAUACUGAGGAAAAUAAGUUUCUAUUCAUUGAUGUUGUAAAUGGGAGACAUUUGUAUUUUCUUUCUCCCGUAUCUCUAAUACAAAAUUUUAUGUAUGAUUGACUGUACACUAGCAUCUAACAAAAUUGGAUGGUUUGAUUUCAAGGGACCAGCCUCCAAAGGAACCAUACUGCUGCAACCUGCGGGAUCUGCUCAUCAUCUUAAUUAUGAGCCAAUCAACUGACUAGUUAGCUCUAUAAAGGAAUCUUCGUGGCAUGGGAUAGUUUGCCCUCCCAUUGGGUGAUUAAAUCCAAAUCCUUCCUCAGCUUGAUUUAACAAGUCUUGGAAUAAAGGAUGAGUCAGGUAUGAUAUUGGAACCACAAAUCUUCUCUUUUCAUUUUCUCCAACAUAUACUGCAAUGUGGCCUUUUGGGACUACAGUUGAAGUUUCCGUAUUUGAAAAAGAUCGUCGAAGACUUCUUUUAAUGUGAGGAAUACCAGGUAAACGAAUAGCCAUGGAUGCUGCAAGUAUAUUAAGAAAAAACUGAUGUGUUGGAGUUGAGAGAAAACUGGUUAACUUGGAGUUGGAUAAUAGUUUGAGCUGAUGGAGGUGUAUAUUUAUAGAGGAAAUGCUACUUGAGUUAUUCUUUCAUCAGGAGUGACUAAUCUUGAUAAUUAGUUAGUUGCAAGGCAAAGCCAUGUGAUCCUUCAAGAGGCAAAGCCGUGUGAUCCUUCAAGGCAAAGCCAUGUGAUCCUUCUUAGAAUUCUUCAUUAUUAAGUCCACAUUUGAAAAAAAAAAGAAAAAAAGAAGAAGAAGAAGGCUUAAAGAGUUUAAUCAAUUACAAUGUGUGCUGAAUUAGUACUUAAAAACUUGCUGCAUUCUCAUCAACAUUGCAAGUUGAGCCAUGAUUUUGAUGGCUUGGUUAGUUGCGCAAGGAAGUUUCUUAUAUAUGCAGAAAUAGAAAUUAUGGAUGAUUGUAAAAAAAAAAAAUAUAAAUGAGUUGCUUGUUAUAAUAGGAAACCAAGAGUAGUAGAAACAAGUGAUAUGGCGAUUUUGUGGGUCUUAUAAGUAAUUGGGGAAGAACAAGGGGCACCCAAGACACUGUAAUUUUUUAGUUUUCCCUCUCUGUAUUUCCUGGGUUUUAGGAUUGUUCAUGGUGAACUUUCUCCAUCAGUAUCACCAGGACAUUUUAAACUUAUCAAUGAAGUUUUAACAAAAAAAAAAAAACAAAAACAAAAAGAGAUACAAAACUUUUUCUCGUAUAUUAUUGAAUAUAAUGUACAUUUUGCUAUGACUCCAUACCAAUAUGCAAUAGAUACAUAUUUACAGAACUGACAACUCAAUAACCGGCUAAUCACAAAAACGCUAAUUUAGAUUGGAAGAGUAAGUGACCCAUCACAAAGGAAUCAAUUUGGCAGUUAAAUAAAUGAAUGUAUCUUCGUCGCAAGGGAUAGUGAGACCACCCAUUGGGUGGCUAAACCCAAACUCUGCCUCGGCUUGAUUUAACAAGCCUUGAAAUAAAGGAUGGUUCAAAUACGAUAUUGGUACCUUAAAUCGUUUUUUCUGCUUCUCUCCAACAUAAACAGCAACAUGGCCCUUUUGAACACUUCUGGUCUCUUCUGAAUUUGAUAGAGACCGUCUAAGACUUUUCUUAAUAUGAGGAACACCAGGUAAACGAAUAGCCAUUGAUAUUGAUGUUGUAGGAAUAACAAGAAGAAAUGUCUAAGUCUAUUGGUGUGGGGGAAAAAUUUUUUCAAACUUGGAGUCGAAUGAUAUUCUAAGCUGAUAGGUUUGUAUAUUUAUAUAGAGGAUAUUGGUACAUGACAAACUCCCCCAUGAAACAUCCAAAGAUCAAAUGCCUUGUGAAGGGUAACAUUACAAAAUGGUGUAAAUAUAAUGAUCUAUGUUUUGUUGCAAACACUAAAUGCUCAAAUUCGAAAGUGAUGACCCUUUUUCGUUCAUAUCAAUGGGCCGAUAGGACAAAAAUAUGAAUCUUUAAAAAUCUUCUUGUUGGUGAACUAAACGACUAAUAUUAACGCUAAAUUUCUAUAUCAUAAGAAAUAUAGUAAUAUAAAAAACUGAUCCAUAACAAGAAAAGUUAUAUAAAACAACUAACUGUACAGUCUUUGUACCUUUGACCCCAAAGCUUUGUUUGUGUAAAACCCAGUUGCCACAGAUGUUCCGAAAGGUCACCUUGAAGUUUAAGUACAGGAGACCAAGAAGAAGCGAUACAUUGUUCACUUGUUCCGUAUCAUUCUGGAGCCAACCUGAAUUCCAAGACUCGCUUAGAUAUUAUGUACGGACUGGUGAAUUUAUCUAGGCUUCAAAAAAGUUGCGUCAACCAGAUGCCUGCCUACAUAGAAAACAGAGUUAGUGAUAUUUAUUGUUUGAUCUAUCGAUGGGCGGAUAGGACAAACACAAAUCUUUGUCAAACUUAUAAUUUAGAUGCCACAAUUGAUUGUGGGAUAUUGAAUAAAACAAUGCCUACACUUCCCUUUUUUCAUGCAGCGAGACACCACAUUCUGUGGUCUUUGGGGUAUAAUACUCUUUUUGCUUGGUUUGCCCAAGAUGCCUCGAAGGCUAGUUCACUGUUGGCGGAAGCCAAUGUCCCGGGCUCCCAGGGACAUAUUCUGACUGAAACAAGGGGUGGGUCUUUACCGACUUCCAAAUCCAAGAUUUUUUUGAAGCCUGACAGCCGCAAAUCCAGUCUUAUACACCCUACCUGUUCUAGUUCUUGCAGGGUUCCUGCUCCGAGCCCCCCACAAAGUUUGGCGUGCUUUCCUUAUGUGAUUGACGAGUCAUGAUUAAGAAGAUCAGUCACAAGCUAUCCUUCUUGUGCUAGUAAUGUAAGGGUGUACAUUCACAUUAAUAUGAAUUAUGGGAACAAGUAGGUUAACGUAUGAAGUAGAGCCUUCUAUAAUGUCUCCUAAUGCUCAUCGAGCAGAUAAUGAGGGGAAUUUAUUCCUUCCAACCUUUUAUUAUAGGAAAACCAAAUUUUGAAAUUUAUAUAGUUAACAAGAGCUACUUAUACUUUGUCAAGGAAUUCUACUUCCUCGCAGUAGAAUCUAAUUGCUGACUAAUACUCUAAUAUAGGGGUAGUCAAUAUGCUAGGUAGUCAGCUAACAACGCUUGCCUUUAUGUGACUUCGUGCCUAGGUAUCUUUGAGACAUUGUUGAAUAUAUUGCAUGCUCGUUUGCUAAGAGUUACUGCAUUCCGUUAUUGUCAAAGUAUUUUACAAGUGUCUGAUUUUGUGACUUGAUUUACUAUUUGCAAAGUAUUUCACAGGUGUCUCUCUGCCUUGUGAGAAUCUAUAAACAGUGUUGUAGAAAUGCUGCAAAAGAAAUACAAGAUAACGUGGAUAACUUUUUGAAGUUAAUUGUGAAAGAGAGAAACAAGUGAUAAGAAAAUGUUUAUAUCUAUGAACAAUGUUUUUAGAGGAGAAAUUUUUCUGCCUCCCGUAUCUCUUUACAGGAAAAUAUUUACAUGACUGACCACUCAAUUGUCAAAAAUGUUCUGGUUUUGUUUAGAGCCAAUGUCCUGGGCUCCCUUGCAUGGUUGCUUGUUGCCAAAUUCAUUAAUUUAACUGACCAGUUACACUAAUGAAGGUGUCUUCGUAGCAUGGGAUAGUGAGACCACCCAUUGGGUGGUCAAAUCCAAACUCUUCUGCGGCUUGAUUUAACAAGUCUUGGAAUAAUGGAUGAUUCAAGUAUGAUAUAGACACCACAAAUCGCUUCUUUUGAUUCUCUCCAACAUAAACAGCAACAUGGCCCUUUGGAACACUUCUGCUCUCUUCCGAAUUUGAGAGAGAUCGUCGAAGACUUUUCUUAACAUGAGGAAUACCAGGUAUAAGAAGAAUAGCCAUUUAAGCUGUAGGGAUACCAAUAAGGAAUUGAUAUUAAGGGUCUACUGGUGUGAAGAGAAAACUUGUCAACUUGAAGGUGGGUGGUAGUGUAAGCUCAUAGGUGUGUUGAUAUAGAAAGCGGAUAUUACAUGACAAAUUCCCUCAUGAAAUUUCCAAAGGUGACAGGCCUUGUGAUGGAUCACAUGGUUUUGUCUGCUAUUUUUAAUGUCGUGCACUCAGUGGUAAAUCGAUCUUAUGUCUAGUGCAACAACAAGAUGUCCUACCUAGAAACUGAGGAUGACCCCGUCUCGAUCGUUUAUAUCAAUGGGCCAAUACACAGCUAUGAAUGUUUAGAAAACUAAUAUUAAUGCUGAAGUCACAUUUAUCACAACAAAGAAAUUCAUGAACAGUAUAAAGUAUAAACAACUGAUUUCCCAUAACAAGAAAAAGUAUAUAGAAUAACCGUACAAUUCCUUAUGUCCUUAAAUCUUGAAGCUUUCUUUGUGAAGAAUCCAGUUGCCUCAGAUGUUUUCAAGGUCAUCUUGCAGUUUAAGUAGGGAAGAUCACCAUGAAGAAGCCAUGCAUAGCUAGGUCCAUAUCUUGAAGAUCACCAUGAAGAAGCCAUGCAUAGCUAGGUCCAUAUCUUUCAUUCUUUCUUAAAUUGACCUACAUUCAUGUAAUGUGUUGUUAACUAUGCAGGCAUGCCUCUUUUUUUCUUCUGUUUCUUUUUUUCUUUUUGGUUAAGAAGUCUUAAUCUGAUAUUUGUAACUGAUUUCUAAUUCACAAAAACGCUACAUUGAUGGAAGUUGCAUUUGCUCCAGUCUCCAACCCCCACUCGCCACAUUGAUCUGGUUUUGAAUAUUAGAUACAUCAAUCUAAACUAAGAAAAAUGCGAGCUGAGCCAGAACGGCAGACUUGGACAACAGGAGAUGUGGACACUAAUUGUUUUUUUUUUUUACUGGUUAUCUCGAGUGUUACUGGCUGCUACAGUAGGUUCAGACACUUGAAAUUGUGUUGGCUCCAAUCUUGACGAAGAAAAUUAUGAAAAAGCUAAAGUGCGUCAAGAAGUUGAAGAGGUCACAGAGUAGUGAUUGUAAAACCUAUGAAACUGGAGAAAGCCCAAGUGUAUUUGGUUCCCGGCCAGGUCUUAAGAAAGUUCAAGGGAGUGACCUCGAUGCUUAACAGUACAUUGGUUACAGUUCAGAUAAGAAGACUUGCCAACCCCUUCAUAAUGAAGGGCUACGGUAAUAUACCAACACAUUACUCUGGUUCAAAAGGUAAUAUACCAUAAGAUUUUGUCAUUAUGGCACUUAGUUCAUGGAGCACUUUGGUACGUACUUUUUAGAGCUGGGGAUGAGGACUGGACUGUAAUAGAAGAUCAAGAAUAUCAGAUCCUAAAUGGGGGUAGAUAACGCAGGAAGAGUUUGUAUUAAUUGUUGAUCCCAACACUUGAAAUGGGGACUCUAGUAGUCUAGUAGUAAAUUCUUUGGUUGAUGGUGGUUGGAAAAAGAAAUAUAAUGGAGAAUUGUUUCUGGUUGAUAUUUGUAGAUUUUAUGAUGGUGGACAACAAAUUCCAAAAAAUUACAUAUUGUACUGUACUACUGUGGCCAACUUAUACCGACUGACUGCAAAGUGUUUAAGCUUGAUGAAAGGAAAGAACAUUGGGUUCAGGUAGGUAGUGGAUUUGGAAAAUGUAGUAGUGUUUCUGCAAAGUGUUCAAGUUUGAUGUAUUCUAUUUCGGCAUCAGACUUUGGAUGUACCGUACAUGUUUGCAAACUUGAACUCAGAUGAUGGUACUUUCCAAGAGUUACCAUUACCCAGCUUGGAUGCCGCCAUGCCGGUGAGCAGCAAUACACGACAGGGGGAGCAAAAGAGAUAAUUUUUUUCGUGUACAGUACUGGUCUAGUGGUCUUGCAUUAUUGUGGGAGUGUUCUGGCAGUAAUUUUCAAUGGCGUCUGGAAAUUCAUCUUUCCUAUUGCACUAAUAUUGUAUAAAUGGAUUAUAGCAAGGAUUUACUUGCAAAGUUAAACAAAAGGGCUAUUUUGUAUUUGGUCCCUCUAGAAGAUAGCUAAUUAGUAUGUGGUCUAAUGUUUUUGGUUUAUUAGCAAAUAGUCCUAAAAUCGUUACUUGACUGUUAGUCAAUAUAGUUGACUCGAGUCAAGACAUCCAUAUUUUUUUAAUAGCCAAACUACCCUUUUAAUCAUGAACAUAUCCCAUCAAAUAUUCUAUUUAACAUAAAAAUCUAAUAUUCUCAAAAAUUUAAAUCCUACUUAAAAAAAAAAAUUGAUAAUCGAACUUACACAAAAUUGAAAAAAAAAAAUAAAGUAUAUUUUUAAUCAAAUUAGACCUAGUAAUUUAACAAAUAGAAAUGGGCUUGCAACUGGUAUGAAAGAGAAUGGAUUUGGGGCUUUGGAGAAUUGGAGAAGUAAAACAAAAUGAGGGUUUUGUAUGUUUCUUUAGGGAUUUGGAUUUUUAGAUGUUUUGGAAAGUUUGAGGGAGAAUGAUAAUUCAUAAACUUUAGACCAGAAUUUGAAAUUGCUUGAAUCACAAAGCAAAUUUCCAUUCUCAUUUGUCCAUUUUCAUUGAAACGAGAUAUUAGAACCAACAAAAUAAUCUUUAAAGGAGAAGGAUGCAUCUACUUCCAUCAUGAAUCAUGAUAGCUAAAAAGCUUUAUUCCUUCACCAUUUUCUUCAACCCCACCAUCAUUAACUUAUGAAAUUGAAGUGGCCGAUUCGAAUUUUAAAGAAAGAGAUUAAAACUAAAAGUCAACUUGGUACAAUGAACACCAUCACUCGUUACUUGAUUCAAAGUUGGAUUUGAUUUCAGCUCAUGUCAAAUUAGAAUAAAGAGAUUUUCAAGUUGUUUUAUGAUAGCAAAAUUGAAGGUUAAGGUUUGUUUAGUUUAUGGGUUUUUUAAAGUUGUUUUUCAUAGGGGAAGAAGGUGAAAAGAAGUAAACUGAAUUUGGUCUUUGUUAGUUCGAUGAUGAUAGAGUGAGAUUGAAGUUAGGGGGGGAGAUGAUGGAGUUUUGGUUUUUUUAAGGGGGAUGUGUAUACUGUUUAGGAUAGAAGAAAAGGAAAAGAAGUUAUGGUUUUGCCACGUGGCACAAUAUCUAACCUUGGAUUUAGUCCAACAAUGAAGCAUUGACAUAUGGAGAGAAAAAAAAUUCAGUUUUUAAAAUUUAAGUUAUGUCAUGUGAAGGAUAGUUUGGACAUUAAAAAAAUAUGGAUGGUUGAAGUAACGAUUUUAGGACCAUUUGCUAAUAAACCAAAAACUUUGGACCACAUGCUAAUUAGCUAUCUUCUAGAGGGACCAAAUACAAAAUAGCCCUAAACAAAAUCGUACUUUGUGUAUUUAGUGCUUUGACUGUGUAGACAAACAAAUGAUUUAACCCUGCAGUACUUAGAUUAUACAUUGAAGUCCUGUGUACUUGGGAAAUAACUUAUGCAUUACUUCUACCCUACUGAUAGGCUUCAUGAAAGAUCAAAUGAUUUUGUGUAUAUAGUCAAUACUCGGUAGAGAAAUAAAAAGGGUUAGUAAUAUAUACUGAGGAAAAUAAGUUUCUAUUCAUUGAUGUUGUAAAUGGGAGACAUUUGUAUUUUCUUUCUCCCGUAUCUCUAAUACAAAAUAUUAUGUAUGAUUGAUUGUACACUACAAUCUAACAAAAUUGGAUGGUUUGAUUUCAAGAGACCAGCCUCCAAAGGAACCAUACUGCUGCAGCCUGCGGGAUCUGCUCAUCAUCUUAAUUAUGAGCCAAUCAACUGACUAGUUAGCUCGAUAAAGGAAUCUUCGUGGCAUGGGAUAGUUAGCCCUCCCAUUGGGUGAUUAAAUCCAAAUUCUUCCUCAGCUUGAUUUAACAAGUCUUGGAAUAAAGGAUGAGUCAGGUAUGAUAUUGGAACCACGAAUCUUCUCUUUUCAUUUUCUCCAACAUAUACUGCAAUGUGGCCUUUUGGGACUACAGUUGCAGUUUCCGUAUUUGAAAAAGAUCGUCGAAGACUUCUCUUAAUGUGAGGAAUACCAGGUAAACGAAUAGCCAUGGAUGCUGCAAGUAUAUUAAGAAAAAACUGAUGUGUUGGAGUUGAGAGAAAACUGGUUAACUUGGAGAUGGAUAAUAGUUUGAGCUGAUGGAGGUGUAUAUUUAUAGAGGAAAUGGUACUUGAGCUAUUCUUUCAUCAGGAGGAAUGGAGGAUAAGUACCAAAACAUGCCUUGUGAGGCAUCACAUGGGUUUGCCUGAAAUCUAAAACUGGGUGGUCACAUUGCAUCCAUUGUUCUGUGGCAGAAACAUCAUGCCCUACAAACAAGACAAGAAUGCUAUUGAGAUGGUCCCUUCUCAAUUUCAUAGCCAUACAUAUUUUUGUUGCCAGAAACGAUCGCAUUAGCCCAAAAGAACUUGUACAAUUCGUAACUGUGAAAAUCCACCAGUCCCCACUAAAAGAUUUGGAAGAAAACAUCAGAUUAUUUACAAGAGCCAGUGUCUAAUGCUGAACUGAGCCUAUUGGGACAUGAUAGGCCAGGAUUGUCAACUUGAUGGAUCCUGUUAAUUUGUUGCAAGGAAAUCAAGUCCAUGUGAUCCUUCGUGAAGCAUGUCUCUUACCUUUGAAUGAUUCUUAAACAUUGAAUCCACAUUUGAUAGGACUGCAGCCUCAAAGCUUUGACAAUUUUUCUUUCUACAGAAUACAAGUCUUUCAUUGUUGAUAUAUACUGUUGAUCAUAGAAAGCAGGGGCAUGAACGUGGAAUGCUUCAUGCAAAUUUUUCCACAAGCUAUAUAUGUUCACUCUUGUCACUCAGAUGUUCCACAUUAAAAGGCCACUUUGCAGUUCGUAUGUUGGUUUUACGUGUUCGGAUUACUUUACAGAAACGAUGCAGAAGGAAAUACAAGGUCAACUGCAGAACUGCCUGACAUAUCUGUUUAUCAAAGAGAGGUAGCUAUCAUAGGAAAAUAGUGAAUGAAAGUACAAACAAUUGAUAAGAAAAUUUUGUUUCUAUUGAUCAAUGUUGUUACAAGAGAAAAUUUUCUCUGCUACCAUAAUCUCUACACACUAUCUACACGACUGACAACUUCAUUAUCAUAAAGCUGCUGGUUUGGAUUCUGUACCAAUUAGGUACUACAAUAUCCUAUCUCUGCUUUGGUUGCUCAUUGUUAGACUCACGAAGAAAUCAGCCGACUAGUUAAAUAAAUGAAGGUGUCUUCGUCGCAUGGGAUAGUGAGACCACCCAUUGGGUGAUUAAAUCCAAAUUCUUCCUCAACUUGAUUUAACAACUCUUGAAAUAAAGGAUGGUUCAAGUAUGAUAUUGGCACCACGAACCGCUUCAUUUGAUGCUCUCCAACAUAAACAGCAACAUGGCCUUUUGGAACAUUUGUGGUCUCAUCCCUAUUUGAAAGAGACCGUCGAGGAGAUUUUCUCUUCAUAUGAGGAAUGCCAGGUACGCUAAUAGCCAUUGAUGCUGCAAGCUAGAAUAACAAGUAAAAUGAAAUGAUAUUGAAGUGUCUUUUGAACUAGAGAGGGUUUGGAUGGUAGUCUAAGAAGAUAGAAAUGUAUGUAUAUAUAAUGAGCAAUUAGGAUAUUAUACUUGACAAUUUCGAAGGGAGACAUGCCUUGUUAAGUAUCACUUGGUUUUGUCUCACAUCUUCAUUGUCUUGUAAAGAGUUGCUAAGAUAAUCUAGAUUUUGUUGCAACAACAAGAUGACCACCUAGAAAACAUAGUAGUUGUGAGUGGCCACCCCUUCUGGAUUAUAUCGAUAUAGGCUAAUAGGACAAGCAUGAAUUAUGAAUGUUCACAUAUGUGACAUAUCUAACAGUACUGUCAUAAAAUAAAAGUGGUACUUGGUCGCCAUCCCUUUGUUCUUUAUUUGAUAGUCAAUGUAGCUAACUUUGGUUGAUCAGAUACUUGAAGUAUGAGACUAUGAGGACAUGGUUUUGUCUGAUAUCUUCAACUGUCAUUACGGAGAAGUUGUUAAAAUGAUCUUGUUGAAUAAACAAGAUGGCCUCCUUUGAAAACAGAGUAAUAUAGUUUAUAGUGGUGAGAGGUGAGCUCUUUUCAGUCGUAUCAUAUCAAUGGCCCAUGUGUUUCAUUAUUUAGCUUUGGUGCUUACUCAUUAUUCAUUCAGUUCUCUAUUAAGAUUUGUUAAUAUGUGUUUGACUUUCGUCGAUCAUAUAUUUUAGUGGGAAUCUUAAGUUGAUUAUACAAUGGCUUUAGGAAGUGUGUUGCAAUAUGUGUCUUUAUAGCAGGAAGAAUGGCUCAUCGAUGCGCAUUAAUUAGUGCUGCUAUCCUGCAGAGGGCGACCCUGGAGACAUAUUUUCAUGAAUGAUGCAAGAGAGUGCAGAUUACAUUGUGAAGAUCGGAUAUGGAGCUUAACAAAAUCGAAGGUAAGAUGCCUUGUGAAGUACAUGAUUUGUCUGAUAUAUAUCUUAGAUGUCAUGUACAAAAUAGUGAAGUUAUCUAGGCUUUGUUGCAGCAACAUGAUGCCGUACCUUAACUAGAAAAUAUUGUUGAAGUGAGGAUCUAUGUCAUUUAAAUCGAUAAUGUGCCCUCAAUAUGACAAACACAAUUGCUGUCAAAAUUGUUGUUAGCCUAAUGAGAAACUACAAAUAGUGCUAGUAUAACAAAUGUGAAUUCAAACAAGCAAAUAAACAAUACGCAGAAAGUAAAUAACACACAGAGAUUUUUAACGUGGUAAAACCCAAACAGGGAAACGUCCACGGUUGUCCUCGCGACAACAAAAUAAUCCACUAGAUGAAAAGAGAUGUACAAACCUAUCAACUACCUGCACUCACUGCGAGUUGAUACUCCUGGUUAUCUCUAACACCUUGACUUCACCAGAGCACCUUGAUGUACGCAUAAGACACUCGACUUCUUGAUGAACACACAAGAAGACUCGAAGCCGAAAUCACAAUAACUCUUAAAGAUCACAAAGAUAUGAAUGGAGAAAAGGAGGAAGAAAGGGAAUUGAGUUCAAUAGCUACAAACACUUUCAAUAUCACAAACCUAACCAAAACACAUGAACUAGAAGAAGGAUGGACGGCCAAAGAACUGACUUCUUCUAAGGAAGAGAAACCCUAUUUAUACUUAGGGUUGAAAACCUAGGAAAAUGGGCCGAAACUGUGCAAACCGACUUUGGACGUUCGUACGUCGAUAUGACGUUCGAACGUCGCAACACAAAAAUAAGCCUGCUGCCUUACAUGACGUACGAACGCUCUAACUCGGUACGUACGUCUCCAUACGAAAACACGUCUGCUGCCUACUUGGACGUACGAACGUCCUAACUGAGUACGUACGUCCUGACCAAAAGAUGUUUGCUGCUUCAGUGAACGUACGUACGUCCUAACUCGGUACGUACGUCCAGAACCCAAUAACUUUUCCUGGACAGACCUAAGAGACACAAGGACACGAGACGACCAUGCGUACAUCUUGAUUUUCCUAACAAUGAAUUCAAGGCGAGAUAACCAAAGACACUUUGUCACAAAAUUGAUGUCAAACCACUUCGUGCCGGUUUCAAUCUCCCCCUUUGACAUUGAUUUUGUGACAAAAACCUAUGACUCUAAUAGCACUUAUAAAACGUGCUUACAAUCCCAAACCAUGGCAUUUAUAAAACAUGCCUACAAAAACACUCAAAAUAGAAACACAUAACAAGUCACCAAUUCUUGUUAUCCAGCUUUAGGAAGAUGCUUUAACCAUCAGAGAUCGAACGAAAGCAAUCAAAGAUUCAACAGAAGUUCCUUCGAGCAACUCCCCCAUACUUCAUGAGCUCCAAAAUAUGUUUGGCACUCGAACUCCCCCAUAACAAUAUAACUUCUAAAAUCAUCAACACGUUCACUCCCCCAUACGUGUAGCAUACCUGAAACAUGACCCAAAAAUAACCUAACAACAAGAAGACGAUUGUUAGUACUUAGAGUCAUAAAUCUCCCCCUUUUUGUCACAACAAGUGAACAAAAUAACCAACCAACAAAGGAAAAGGACAACAAAAAACCAAUAAUCAAGAAGAAGAAAUCAAUACCAAACAAAGAAUACAAGACAGAUAAAAAUAUAAAACUAAUCCAACUGUUAAAAGUUCAGAAAGUCAACUAAUAACCAAACAGAAAAAUCCAUAAGCAGAAAAAGCAAAAACGACAAAAACUGAAGGCUUGAAUUAACGAAUUCGAAAAACCCGUUCCCAAUGACCUAAAGGAAGCUUGGAGAAGUAAGCUUCCGCACGAGCCGAAGGUCUAUUCCACCGAGCAAUCACAUGAACAUAAAGCUUAAGAUAGGACAUAAAGCUUUCGCACGAGCCGAAUAGCUAUUCCACCGAGUUUGCACAGGACUAUCAGCACUCGUACAAAAUAACUCCUCAAUUCUGCUGUCCAAGCCACAGUCGGUAAGAGGAGCAGCAAGUCCUGGAACCUUCGGGUAUCCAACCAACUCCAAGAUGUGAUUCUGAAGAUGUCCCGGUAGCCUCUCCCAAUGAUUGAUAUGAACCAAGCAUGAAGGAAGUAAAGGUCGAUGAUCAUAGUCAUACCCAUGAGGAACGCGACAUAAACGACAAACCGGCCUUAGCAUUGUUUUUGUACUCCAUGACCAUAAACGACACAUACCCAACAGCCGGAACAAAAACUCCAUGAAGUGCAAAUUCUGUCAUAGGAAAUUCUGAAGAACAAAGAUAGAACUAGAAAGAGAUAAGAAGAUACAAUAGGAGUAAAAGAGGAGAAGACUCCCUAUUUAUAAGAAAAAUAGGAGUAAACAUAUCAUGGGCCCAAAAAGACAGGUCCAUUACCUCAGAAAAAUUUACUGCAAAACAAGGAAACCAACUUGAACUAACAUGAAAAUAGCAAUAUCCAAGAACAUCCUCAAUACCAAAGAAAUAGAAACAAGCUGCUUGAGAGAAGCAAUAAACAACCACCAAAGAAGAAGAAGAAGGGAAAGACCAAAGAAAAGACCUUGAGGGAAGGUGAAGACUUCCUAUGUUCGUGCAAGAGACAAGAAAGGGGCACGAUUGAUGUAACAGUAAGCCUUUGGUUCAAAAAAAAAUUUGAAUUUAAACACAAAUUGGCCGGACUGUAUGACAGACGUUCGUACGUUCUGAACACGGUCGAGAAUGCAAAAGCGAAGAACGACAUCAUACACCAUGACAUGGUAGUUACUAGAAUGAUGCAAGUAUGUAGAAGAACCUGAUAGACCAAUACCAACCUCCGAAAAACAAACUAAAGACAUGAUUAUGGAAUAUUGAAAGUCACUUGCAACUAGCCCAAAAUAAAACUGAACCAGAUCACAAUAUAACAAAGAAAACACACACUAUUGUUGUUCUUUUUGUCUUUCAACUAGACAAAUGCGAAAGCCACUAUUCAUUUUUUUUUUUUUUAUUUUGUAAACCAUUGAAACAGAUGCCAUUCCCGUGUGGGAGUAUGUAAUAUCUCCAUCUUUUACCAGAACACGAGGGUAGGGUGUAGCCUACAUCUUUUCGGCAAAACACACUCAAGAAGAGCAAUACCAUGAUAACGUGCAACACAAGAACUAACAUCUCCUGAGUGCAUCCGUCAGAGCAUGACCCUCACAGCCCCAACAGGUUCUUAGCCAAAUGAGUAUGCUCUCAAGACAUUCAAAUGGCUGGGGAUUUUGUGAGUAAUUGACCACUUACAAGAGGUGAGAAAAUAAAGAAAAUAAAAACAACGAUCAUGAAAAGCAACCAUGGAAAACUGGAGUUAUACAUGUAUUGAAAAGAUCAAGCUAACCACAUUAACAUGCAUCAUGCAAGAAACUACCAAAACAAAGAGAGUAUAAUGUAACCCUACAACUAUGCAUGACACAAAGACAGUUGAGAACGCCAACCUAGAAACAUCUGUAAAAUGGAAUCCACACAAUAGAGAAGGUAGUAUGUCCUCAAAAACAACCACAAUAAUAAUAAACACCAAAAAAACACCGAAUCUAAACAUCCUACCCACAAUGACAAUACCAGAAAGAAAAAGAAAGUAACAAAACAAUUAGGGAAGAGUUACAACCCCAAUAGACUUACGCAAGGAAUGGAAUCGGCCUGCAUCAAGAGGUUUUGUAAGAAUAUCUGCUAGCUGAUGUUCAGUAGGAAUGAACUCCAUUACUAUAUCACCCUUUUCGACCGCCUCACGAAGGAAAUGGUGACGAAUGUCAAUAUGCUUUGUGCGUGAGUGUUGAACAGGAUUCUUGGAAAUGCUAAUGGUACUGGUGUUAUCACAGAACAGGUCCAUCGCCUGCUGUUGAAUGCCAUAAUCCCGAAGCAUCUGACGCAUCCACAGAAGUUGAGUACAUGCACUAGCUGCAGCUAUAUACUCAGCCUCACAUGAAGAGAUGGAUACAGAUGAUUGUUUCUUGCUAUGCCAGGAAACAAGAUUAUUCCCAACAUAGAAACAGCCACCACUGGUACUAUGACGAUCAUCAAGAUUACCACCCCAAUCAGCAUCACAAUAACCUGCCACAACACUAUUCGUAUCUCUGGUGAACCAUAACCCGUAGUCAAGAGUGCUAGCAACAUACCGAAUAAUACGCUUAACCGCAAUGAGAUGAGAUUCUUUAGGGUUAGCCUGAAAUCUUGCACAUACCCCAACACUAUAAGAAAUAUCUGGACGACUAGCAGUGAGAUACAAAAGACUACCAAUCAUACUCCGAUAUUCACGAAUAUCAACAGACUUACCCAUAAUAUCCUUACCAAGACGUACCCUCUCACCCAUGGGAGUAUCUUGACCACUGGAAGUGCUGAGACCGAAUUUUUUAACCAGUUCUUUAGCAUACUUUGUUUGAGAAAUGAAAGCUCCAUGAUCAAACUGUUUGACCUGUAAGCCAAGAAAGAAAUUCAGUUCUCCCAUUAAACUCAUUUCAAAUUCAGAGCUCAUUAAUUGAGAGAAAGAUUCAGAAAGACUUGGGCACGUCGACCCAAACACUAUAUCAUCCACAUAGACUUGGGCGAGAAGAACAUCAGUAUUCUUUCGCAGUAUAAACAGAGUCCGAUCAACACUGCCACGAACAAAUCCUUUUCCCAGUAAGAAGGAGGUCAGACGUUCAUACCAAGCUCGAGGAGCCUGCUUUAACCCAUACAGUGCUUUUUGCAAUUUGAAGACAUGAUUCGGAAAAGUGUGAUCCACAAACCCUUUAGGUUGUUCAACAUAGACCUCCUCAUUAAGAAUACCAUUGAGAAAUGCACUUUUGACAUCCAUUUGAUACAACUUGAAAUUCAAGUGGCAUGCCAUAGCAAGAAGAAGCCUGACAGAUUCCAACCUAGCCACGGGAGCAAAUGUCUCUCCAUAGUCAAUACCUUCAAUCUGACUGUAGCCCUGAGCUACGAGCCUUGCCUUGUUGCGCACAAUCUGUCCGAACUCAUCCAACUUGUUUUUAAAGAUCCACUUGGUGCCAACCACAUUAGUGUGAGUAGGUCUAGGAACCAACGUCCAGACAUCACUACGCUUAAACUGACCGAGUUCUUCCUGCAUAGCAACUAGCCAAUCAUCAUCAAUAAGAGCAUCAGUAACAUUUUUAGGUUCAAGAGAAGAGAGAUAACAAACAUAAUGAACACAAUUUGUCUCCUUGGCCCUCCGACGAGUCAAACGCUGAUCAUUAAUAUCCCCAAUGAUAUCUCCUAAGGAGUGAUAUUGUUUGACACGAGGUGAAGCUAGAUUAAACACCCUUUCAGGGUCAGCAGGGACAGUGGAGAGAUCUGAAGACACAUCAAUCACAUCUGGUGAUUGAACUACAUCAUCCGGUGUGAGCACAGCACCGGUCCUACUAGGCACGUCCUCUGCAGCAUCAGAAGGUUUAGUACCACCAUUGCCAUUAUCAGGUGAUGAUAACGAUAUGGAAGACAUGUCAGCCGGGUCUGACACGGGUGAGAGAACUGUGACAUCCUGUGUACCAGUGGAAACAGAAGAGUCAGAUGUAAUAGUGUCAUCAACAACAACAUUAAAGGAUUCCAUGACCUUGCGAGUGGUGUAGUUAAACACUCGAAAGGCUCUACUGUUAGAAGAAUAACCAAGUAAAAGAGCUACUUCACCUCGACUAUCAAACUUGGACAGACUUUGUCUGUCCUUGCACACAUAGCACACACUACCAAAAACUCGCAUAUAUUUGAGAUUCGGCUUCUUACCAUACCAUAGCUCAUAAGCAGUUUGUGUAGUACCAGAUCUUAGAUAUACACGGUUCAUUAUGUAACAAGCAGUAUGAACCGCUUCCGCCCAAAACUUGGUCGGAACAUCCUUUGCAUGCAACAUAGCACGAGCCAUCUCCUGAAUAACACGAUUUUUCCUUUCAGCGACUCCGUUUUGUUGCGGAGUGUAUGGAGCCGAAAAUUCUUGCCAUGUACCAUUUGCAAUACAAUACUCAAUCACACCUGUGGCUGUGAACUCACCGCCUCUAUCGCUUCUGAUAUGUUUAAUUUGAGUAUCUUUCUCGUUCUGAAUACGAAGGCAUAUCCCCUGAAACUCAAGAAACGUAUCAGAUUUUUCACGCAAGAAUGAUACCCAGGUAAAGCGAGUGUAAUCAUCAACCAUAACCAAGAUGUAUCGUUUGCCUCCUAGACUAGGAGUACGAGUAGGACCCAUCAGAUCCAUGUGUAUGAGUUCUAAAGGGGAAGAUGUGGUUAUGGAUUUUUUCUUGGAAUGUGGACUACGUAUCUGUUUACCUAGUUGACACCCACCACACACAGUGUCUCGAUUUCUUCCAAGUCUAGGAACUCCCUUAAUAUAUUCAUUCCGAGUUAGAUUGUCCAGGUGUUCAAAGUUGACAUGACCGAGUCGUUGAUGCCACAAUAGACUCUCAUUUAGUUUGCUAGGUAAGCAGUUCAUGCUAGAUGUAACAGGCUGAAUGGCAUAGCAAUUAUCCAAUGUUCGUUUACCUGUCAUGAUACACUUACCCGAACUAUCAAGCACGGUACAUAUAUUUUUGGAAAAAUUAACAGUAUGGUCAGUAUCACACAGUUGGCUAAUACUGAUCAAAUUUACACGCAAACCAUCAACUAACAAACAAACAUCAUUCGGAGAUAAACCAAUACCAGCGACAAAUCCCUUACCAAUCACAAGAGAGCUCUUACCAUUCCCAAAAGUAACACUUCCACCAUCUAUAGCAGUAACGGAGGAGAAAAGUUUGGCAUUACCUGACAUAUGUUUUGAAGCUCCACUAUCAAGUAACCACUCACUAUCCGAGCUUGAGACAUGAAGGGCAGUAAUCGCCACAUUUGAAACAUUUCCUGCAAAGUUACAAGGAAAAGAGUAAGAGGCAUAUGGAUAAGAUGGAUAAUCAUACGACGGUUGUGAAAACGGCUUCCAUGAUUGUGGAACAUGAGCAGCCACACCACACUGCGAGGCCCAAUGUCCAAACUGUCCGCAUAGUGAGCACGACAUUUGACGUUUCCUUCCCUGAGGCGGAACACGCCUGAACAGUUUCCACUUACGCCGGAUGCCAACCGUGUCCACAGAGUGGUGAAUGUCGGACUUUUUGGUAGGAGGAUGGGGCAACAGUGGAGGUAAUUCAGAAGAUGACAGCCCAUUGCACUUUUCGAACGACUGAAAGCGAAUCAACUCCUUUUUGACCUUGUCUAGUUCUGAGGACACAAUCUUAUACCGAGCUUCCCAUUCGACCUUGUCAUGCUCAAGAGCAGCAAGAUUACCCAGUAAAGCCACCUUAUCAACCUGCCAUGAUACAGGUUCCCUAUCCAGGAUUGACAUAGAUGAGGAACUAGAAGACAAUAAGUCAAGUCUAUCCUGAAGAAUACAAUUUUGUGCCUCCAACCUUAGGCAUUCCUUUCUGGAUAACCGGUAUAGGGUAGCCCAAUCAUUAUUGUCCACCAGAAUCAAAUCCCUGUCACAAUUACUAGAGCAUUCUUUACUGUCAAUGGACUGCUCAUCAGACAGUCGAGCAACCACCGAGACAUGUGUCUUACCAGAGUAAUCCAUAGCACUAUUGAUCGUUAGCGUGAGCCUUUACGCUCCUUAACCAGCCCCCAGCGACUGAUACCAAUUGAGAAACUACAAAUAGUGCUAGUAUAACAAAUGUGAAUUCAAACAAGCAAAUAAACAAUACGCAGAAAGUAAAUAAUACACAGAGAUUUUUAACGUGGUAAAACCCAAACAGGGAAACGUCCACGGUUGUCCUCGCGACAACAAAAUAAUCCACUAGAUGAAAAGAGAUGUACAAACCUAUCAACUACCUGCACUCACUGCGAGUUGAUACUCCUGGUUAUCUCUAACACCUUGACUUCACCAGAGCACCUUGAUGUACGCACAAGACACUCGACUUCUUGAUGAACACACAAGAAGACUCGAAGCCGAAAUCACAAUAACUCUUAAAGAUCACAAAGAUAUGAAUGGAGAAAAGGGGGAAGAAAGGGAAUUGAGUUCAAUAGCCACAAACACUUUCAAUAUCACAAACCUAACCAAAACACAUGAACUAGAAGAAGGAUGGACGGCCAAAGAACUGACUUCUUCUAAGGAAGAGAAACCCUAUUUAUACUUAGGGUUGAAAACCUAGGAAAAUGGGCCGAAACUGUGCAAACCGACUUUGGACGUUCGUACGUCGAUAUGACGUUCGAACGUCGCAACACAAAAAUAAGUCUGAUGCCUUACAUGACGUACGAACGCUCUAACUCGGUACGUACGUCCUGACCAAAAGAUGUUUGCUGCUUCAGUGAACGUACGUACGUCCUAACUCGGUACGUACGUCCAGAACCCAAUAACUUUUCCUGGACAGACCUAAGAGACACAAGGACACGAGACGACCAUGCGUACAUCUUGAUUUUCCUAACAAUGAAUUCAAGGCGAGAUAACCAAAGACACUUUGUCACAAAAUUGAUGUCAAACCACUUCGUGCCGGUUUCACCUAAUUGGUAUAAAUGUUACUCCAGACAAAAAUAAUUCAUAUAUAGAACUAUAGAAGUAACCGCAUCACAGGCGCACAGAACUGUAACCACAAGUCCAUUUGCCUAGGUUGUUUUAUAUAUCCUGAACAAGUUUUUUGAUGGUUAGAUUUACUCCAAUUGCCAUAGAUGUUAGAAUAUAUACAUAUUAGAGAAGGCCACCUAGCAAUUCACGAAGAUUCGAUCCACGUUUCCGAAUAUCAAUAUCAUCCGUGAACCAACAACCUACAAUGUGGCUUGCUAAGUAAAAUUAAACAAAAUCCUAUUAAGCAAAUUAGUGCUGUAGACCCUGUAGAGAUACAGAUCCAACCCUGCAGUAAAAUUAUCAAAAUCCUAUUAAGCAAAUUAGUGCUGUAGACCAUGCUCAAUCAGUAAAUACUGAGCAGAAAAAUUAGAGUAAAUAAAAACAAUAAGUCAGGAGAAUUAAGUAUUUCAUUGAUGUUGUCAAAGGGAGACGCUUAAAUUUUUCGUCUCCUGUAUCUCUAAUACAAAACUAUCUACAUGAUUAACAUUUCUAACAUCUAACAAAAUUGGAUGGUUUAGCUAGUUUGAAGGCACCAGCCCCAUGAAAUGGAACCACAUUGCUGCAGUAUCUGCUCAUCAUCUAACUUAUGAGACAAGCAACUGACUAGUUAGUUCAAUGAAAGAGUCUUCGUCGCAUGGGAUAGUUAGCCCUCCCAUUGGAUGAUUAAACCCAAAUUCUUCCUCAGUUUGAUUUAACAAGUCUUGGAAUAAAGGAUGAGUCAAGUACGAGAUUGGAACCACAAAUCGUCUCUUUUCAUUCUCUCCAACAUAUACUGCAAUGUGACCUUUUGGAACUACAGUGGAGUUUUCCUUAUUUGAAAAAGAUCGUUGAAGACUUCUCUUAAUGUGAGGAAUUCCAAGUAAACGAAUAGCCAUGGAUGCUGCAAAGAAUAGCAAGGAAAAACAGAAUUGUUGGUCUUGAAUGAAAACUUGUAAACUUGGAGUUGGAAUGUUGGAUAAUGCUUUGAGCUGAUGGAGGUGUAUAUUUAUAGAGGAAAUGAUACUAAGAAAAUUCCUUCAUCAGGAGGAUAAGUAAGAAACAUGCCUUGUGAGGCAUCACAUGGGUUUGCCUGAAAUCUAAAACUUGGUGGUCACACUGAUCCAUUGUUCUGUGGCAGAAACAACAUGCCCUACAAACAAGAAAAAAAUGCUUCUGAGAUGGCCCCUUCUCAAUUUCAUAGCCAUACAUAUUUUUGUUGACAGAAACAAUCGCGUGAGCUCCAACACAUUUGUACAAUUCUCAACUGUGAAAAUCCAGCAGUCCCCACAAAAGAUUUGGAAUAAAACAUCACAUUAUUUGGAAGGGACAGUGUGUAAUGUUCAACUGAGCCUAUUUGGAUUUCGGGCGUAUGAUAUGGCCAAAAUGUGUCAAGUUGAUUGAUCCGGAUAAUUUGUUAAGGAAAAUUCAUUUGAUACUUCUUGAAGCAUAUGUAUCUUGUCAUCUUGAUCAGCCCUACAUUAGAAUUAUUUUUAAACAUUAAAUCCACAUUUGAUAUGACUGCAGCGCGCCUUAAAUCUCUGACCUUUUUGUUGCUGCAGAAUACAAGUCUAUGCAUGUAUUAUGAGUUCCAGACAUUUCUGCUAUUGAUCGAAAAUCGCGAACAGAAGAAAGGGCAUUGAUGGCAAAACUCCUAUGGAGGUUUGGUCUGGUAAGCCUGCUUCAGAUUAUUGUUUUCUUCAUGUGUUUGGGUGUCCAGCUUACUAUCAUGUCCGAGAGAGUAAGUUGGAUCCUCGUGCAAAGAAGUCUUUAUUUAUGGGUCUACAGAGUGGAGUAAAAGGUUAUAAGCUAUGGGAUCCAGAAUUGAAGAAAAUUAUUCUAAGCAGAGAUGUGACAUUUGAUGAGGCUUCUAUGUUGAAGUCUAAGAGCUCUCAGCAGGUGGAGAGCAAGGCCAAAGAGGUUUCGCAGUGGGUGGAGACUGAUAUAUCUCCACGUGUUCCAGGUGGUUCUGUAUCUUUGGAAACGUCUACUAUAAGGGUUCCAAGUGAGGUUUCUAGUGUUACAGAUUCUGAUGACAUGACAGAUAAUGAGGUUGAUGAUGAGACGGUUGAUGAUACAGUACAUGUGGACUCUGAUGAUGAGGGUCCAAUUGCAUCUAGAUUAUCCAAGAGAAAUGCGGGUGUUCCUAAACGGCUUACUGAUGAUAUGGUAGCUUAUGCACUUUCGGUUGUUGAUGAGGGUAUUCCAGAAACUUUUCGUGAAGCACUGCAGAGUAGUGAUUAUGAAAGGUGGAAGAAGGCCAUGGAUGAGGAGAUGAAAUCUCUUCAUAAGAAUGACACUUGGGAACUCAUGGAGUUGCCUAAGGGAAAGAAAGCAAUCGGGUGCAAAUGGGUUUACACUAAGAAAGAUGGGUCUCCUGGUGAAAAUGUACGCUUCAAAGCAAGAUUGGUGGCAAAAGGCUAUGCUCAGAAGGAGGGAAUUGAUUAUAAUGAAAUCUUUUCUCCGGUUGUGAAACAUUCCUCCAUUCGCAUCCUAUUGGCCUUGGUAGCACAGUUUGAUUUGGAGUUAGCUCAACUUGAUGUGAAAACUGCUUUUCUACAUGGUGAGCUAGAUGAGGAGAUUUAUAUGACUCAGCCGAGUGGGUAUAAAGAUGCGGGUAAUGACAAGCUGGUGUGUAAAUUGAAGAAAUCGUUGUAUGGGUUGAAGCAAUCUCCAAGGCAAUGGUACAAGCGGUUUACACAGUUUAUGCUUGGGCAAGGGUACACAAGAAGUCCAUAUGAUCCUUGUGUCUAUUUUCGCAAGGUAUGUGAUGGUUCUUUUAUCUAUUUGCUUUUAUAUGUUGAUGACAUGCUCAUAGCCUCUAAAAGCAAUGUGGAGAUAGACAAGUUGAAAAAGACUAUGUCUAUGGAGUUUGAGAUGAAAGAUCUUGGUGAUGCGAGAAAGAUACUUGGCAUGGAAAUUCAGAGGGAUCGAGACAAUGGAAGGUUGUGGUUAUCUCAAAAGGCCUAUCUACAGAAGGUGCUACAGAGAUUUAGCCAAUAUGAGAUUGGUGAAGCUGUGAGUAUACCUCUCUCAAAAGAUUUUAAGUUGAAUGCUUCCAUGUCUCCUAAUUCUGAUAGGGGACGUGCUUAUAUGGCACGUUAUCCAUACGCAAGUGCGGUUGGUAGCUUGAUGUAUGCGAUGGUAUGUACAAGGCCCGACAUUGGGCAUGCAGUUGGCACUGUAAGUAGGUACAUGCAUAAUCCUGGUGAGAAACAUUGGGAAGCUGUGAAAUGGAUCUUGCGCUACAUUCAAGGUAGUGUGGAGGUUGGUUUACUAUUCCAGAAGGGAAGGGAUUUGACUCAGUUGUGUGUUGGUUAUGUGGAUGCUGAUUAUGAUGGUCAGAUAGAGAGACGUCGGUCUACUACUGGAUAUGUUUUUACAUUGGCAGGUGGUCCUAUUAGUUGGCGGUCUACAUUACAAUCUUUGGUUGCUUUGUCUUCGACAGAAGCAGAAUAUAUGGCUGUGACUGAAGCCUUUAAGGAAGCCAUUUGGUUACGAGGUAUGUUGAAGAACUUGGGUAUUGUGCAGGAGAAGCUUAUGGUUCAUUGUGAUAAUCAAAGUACCAUAAAUCUGGCAAAGAACUCAGUUUAUCAUGCUCGUACAAAGCACAUUGAUGUGCGACAUCACUUUGUCAGAGAUAUUAUUGAAGAGGGUGAGAUCUUAUUGAAGAAGAUUCAUACUAGCAAUAAUCCGGCUGACAUGUUAACUAAAGUGGUUCUAGGGACUAAGUUCUAUCAUUGCUUAGAUUUAGUCCAUAUUCUUCCUUUGAGUGGAUAGUAUAUUUUGGAGUGAACUACGAUGGCUUGAUCCCUUAGAAGAAGGGUACGUAGGCAACCAUGAAGUGGUGCAGCCGAGGUGGUCCUUCGGGACAUGUGUGGGAGUUUGUGAUUUGUGUUUUUCGGCUUAGAUUUAUUGAAUCUUCGCCGAGGUGGAGAAUUGUUGGGUUUUUAUGUGCAAAAUGGCAGCAGGGAAGUAUUUUGUUCAGGAACGUACGAACGGCUUUAGGGCGUUCGUACGUCCAAUGUGGCAGACAACUUUUUCGGGACAGAACGUACGAACGUGGUUAGGGCGUUCGAACGUCCCGUACGCCAGAUCGUUGUUACGUGUUGUACACGUACGUACGUGAUUUCGACGUACGUACGUCCUUCUCCAGUUUUGUGCAUAUGGGCCUGUUUUGAGCCCAAUUCGUGGCUAUUGUAAGGCUAUACUAUAAAGCCAAAUAGAAUUUGACAAAACCUUAACUUUUCUGAAAGAGAGAUUGUGAGAAGCCAUUAGAGAGUUUGAGAGAACUUUUGUGAGGAAGAAGACUUCGGUUUCUUCGUGAGGGCUUGUACAAUUGUCUUGUGAAAGAAAAGCAUCAUCUUUUCUCCCCGUGGACGUAGGCAUAUUGCCGAACCACGUAUAUCUUGUGUCUUGUGUGUGAUUGCUUGUUUACUUUUGUCGUUUUGUUUACUUUCAUACACUAGUUCAAUUAUAUUAUUUGUGCAUUAGUCCGCUGCGCACAACAAUAGAAACAAUUGACAAGAAAGUUCUGUUUCUAUUAACAACAUUGUUACAGAAGAGAUAAGUGUUUCUCUGCUCCCCUAAUUUCUAAACAGUAUCUACACGGUUGACAACUCCCAUUAUCCUAAAGCUGGUAUUUGGUUUGGAAUUUGGACGGACAAAUUAGUCUCAACAUUAUCUUAACUCUCUUUUGAUUGUUCAUUGUUAGACUCAUGAAGAAAUCAGUCGACUAGUCAAAUGAAUGAAGGUGUCUUCGUCGCAUGGGAUAGUGAGACCACCCAUUGGAUGAUCAAACCCAAAUUCUUCCUCAGCUUUAUUUAACAAGUCUUGAAAUAAGGGAUGGUUCAAGUAUGAUAUCGGCACCACAAACCGCUUCAUUUGAUUCUCUCCAACAUAAACCGCAACAUGGCCUUUUGGAACAGCUGCAGUCUCCUCUGUAUUUGAAAGAGACCGUCGAAGGGACCUUCUCUUCUUAUGAGGAAUGCCAGGUAUGCAAAUAGCCAUUGAUGCUGCAAGAAUAACAAAUAAAAUGAAAUGAUAGCUGUCUUCUGAACUAGAGAGGGAAUUUGUUAAACUUGGAGUUUGAAUGGUAGUCUAAGCUGAUAGAUAUGUAUAUGUAUAGUGAGCAAUUAGGAUAUUGUUCUUAAUAAUUUCAAAGGUAGACAUGCCUUUUUAACCAUCACAUGGUUUUGUCCCACAUCUUCUUUGUCAUGUAAGGAGUUGCUAAUUAAGAUAAUCUGGUUUUGUUGCAUUAACAAGAUGCCCACCUAGAAAGCAUAGUAGUUGUGACUGGCAACCCCUUCUCGAUUAUAUCGAUUGGCUAAGUGGCGGAUCUAAGGGGGGUCAUGGGGUAUCACUUGACACCCCUGAAGUUUUGCAAUUUUUUUACUAUAUAUGUUCAAUUUUUUAAUUUUUUUAAAUAUAUUUAUUACCAAAGAUACUAUAUUGUAUCUUCUAAUAAAGUAAUAUCUGUUAAAUUGUUUUUCAUUCCCAUAAUUUAAGGAUUUUAUAAAGAUCUAGAAGAUCUUACAUAAAUAAAAUGUUAAAAUAUCUUUACAUUUAUGUACAUAAUAGAAAAUUACAAUUUUUUAUGUGUAUUUUUUGCCAACCUUCUAAAAAAAUUAAUUUUGAGUUAUAUCAAAAAAAAAAAAAAAAAAAAAUUCAAUCAACAAUCUCUUUUUUCUUGUUCAUCCAAUCACAUCUAUUUGAAUUGUGGUCUUUAACAUGAUGUUUUAGGCGCAGAGGUGCAAGUUUUGUAUGGUGGCAUGCUCUCAUAUAAUUGGGUCGAGUUGGUUGGGGUCUCAUAAUCUGACGGUAUCAUCUCAUGGCAUGUUGUUCAAAAUUGUUUGUGUGGUUUCUUUAUCAAUAAAUUGUGAAUUAUAUAUAUAUAAAAAAUGACGUCUGAAAUGAAAUAGACAAAUUUUUGAAGUAAUUACUUACUUUUUUUUCUUGUUUAUAUCAACUCUUGAUUAUAUUUAUUUAUUUUUAAUUAAAAUCUAUUUUACAUGAAAUGAUAGUUUUCUAGAGGUGUUUAAUUUCUAACAUUUUUUUUUGUCUAGAUGUAUAACAUUCUUGACCCCCUUAGCAGAAGAUCUUAAAUCCGCCAUUGUCUUCUAUUCUGCGUCCUUAUUCAUUCGCCACCACCUCACAUUCUCAUCUCUAUCUCCCACUUUCACCUUCUCCACUCUAUCUCCCACUUUCACCUUCUCCACCACCAACAGAGUUACUUCCUCCCCUCCCUGUUUUCCCCUUUUAUAAGUAUAGAGUUAUUAAAUUUUUUAUCGAAUAUUUCAAGAACAAACCCAAUGAGUUUGAAAAAAUUAAAUAGCUUCUAUCGGGGAAGUCGAUUAUUUUUAACGCCGAUUACUCAGAGAAUUCGUUUGAUAAAGAAGAACAAAAACAAAAGCAAGUUGUAACAUCAGGCAAUGGCGGAUCUAAGGGGGUCAUGGGGUAUCACUUGACACCCUUGAAGUUUUACAAUUUUUUUACUAUAUAUGUUCAAUUUUUUAAUUUUUUUAAAUAUAUUUAUUACCAAAGAUACUAUAUUGUAUCUUCUAAUAAAGUAAUAUCUGUUAAAUUGUUUUUCAUUCCCAUAAUUUAAGGAUUUUAUAAAGAUCUAGAAGAUCUUACAUAAAUAAAAUGUUAAAAUAUCUUUACAUUUAUGUACAUAAUAGAAAAUUACAAUUUUUUAUGUGUAUUUUUCGCCAACCUUCUAAAAAAAUUAAUUUUGAGUUAUAUUAAAAAAAAAAAAAAAAAAAAUUCAAUCAACAAUCUCUUUUUUCUUGUUCAUCCAAUCACAUCUAUUUGAAUUGUGGUCUUUAACAUGAUGUUUUAGGCGCAGAGGUGCAAGUUUUGUAUGGUGGCAUGCUCUCAUAUAAUUGGGUCGAGUUGGUUGGGGUCUCAUAAUCUGACGGUAUCAUCUCAUGGCAUGUUGUUCAAAAUUGUUUGUGUGGUUUCUUUAUCAAUAAAUUGUGAAUUAUAUAUAUAUAUAUAAAAUGACGUCUGAAAUGCAAUAGACAAAUUUUUGAAGUAAUUACUUACUUUUUUUUCUUGUUUAUAUCAACUCUUGAUUAUAUUUAUUUAUUUUUAAUUAAAGUCUAUUUUACAUGAAAUGAUAGUUUUCUAGAGGUGUUUAAUUUCUAAUAUUUUUUUUUUGUCUAGAUGUAUAACAUUCUUGACCCCCCUAGCAGAAGAUCCUAAAUCCGCCACUGGCAAUGUACUUAACUUUGGUUGAUCAGAUAGUUAUAUACUUAUAUGGUACUUGGCAAUAUAUGCCUCGUGACUGAAGGAUUACAUGGUUUUUUCUAGUAUCUUCAAUGUCAGGUACGAAGAAGUUAACUAAAAUGAUCUUGGCCAGUUUUGCUAGAGGAUAACAAGCUGGUGAGAGGUGAAUCAUCCUCAUUCAUAUCGGUGAUCCAAGUAUUUCAUUAUUUAGCUUUGUGCUUAGUCAUUAUUCACCUAGCUAUCUCUAUUAAGGUUUGUUAAUUAGUUAGAGUAUUUGACUUUUGUAGACAGCAUAUUUUAAUGGGAAGACUAGCCAAUCGACGUGCUUUAGUGCUGCAGUGCAGACAUGUUUCAUGAAUGAAGAGUAAGGUUUCCAUCACUCACAAUUGGACAUAGGGAAACUAUAGUGCAGAUGCAGUUGCUAAGUAUGUGUUGCACUAAAUUACAGUACCUUUGUGAGGAUCUAAUAGACUAAUAUGGUAGUCGACAAUUACAAAGGUAACCAGGCCCUUUGAAUGAAGGUAGUACUUGGUUUUGUCUGAUAUCUCAGAUGUCAUGUACACACAGUGGCACAAGGGAUUGGUUUUACAGAGGUUGACUACAUUACAUAAAAAUAGAUGGUAAGUUUUUCUCCCCAUUCUAAUUACACUCCCAUCACCUCCCACAGGACCAAACCACACAUUCGUCCCGGAGGUGCCAUGGUAGGUUGGGAGAAUAUCAUUUGAGUCAGCGCGCAACUGGACACACUACUGGCUCGGAUAAACACCAUUGUAUGAGGCAGGGAGAUCGUCAACCCAGCCCAGCAACAAGAUGCCGUAUGUUACCUAAAAAGCAUAUAUAUAUUAUAUAUAUAUAUAUAAUAUAUAUAUAUAGUUAAAUUUAAAUCCAUAGGUCGCGUCCUAUGUGACAAAAAUAUAAAUAUUCUGUCAAAAUUCAUAUUAGCCUUAGUGGAAUAAUUGAUUGUUCCAGACAAAGAUAGUUAUAUAUUGAAUGAAUAUAUCAUGCACGUACAUUUAUUUCUUUGCAAUUUAAUUGCAUUCUCUAAUACAUGUUGAAGAAGCCUCUUGUGAAAACACACACUCAAUCAUAUACUUAAAACUGUCUGACUUAUUUUGCUUAAUUACCUUCUGAUAGUCCAAUCAUACACCUUUUUGAAGGUACCAUCUUUCUGCACAAAAUAUACUCCAUCCCAUUGAGCCUUACGCACACAUACGUUACCAUCUGCGCCACCGCAAUUAUCUAUAUCAUCAUGGCCCUUGUACACUCUAUAGCUUCCCCACACCAGUUUAUGAUGAUCAUACCACCACAUACGACACCAAAACAGUGUCCUUCCAAAAAGGUUAUUUGUGAAGCUCCAUUCAGAGGUUUUAUUGAAAUCAAUAUUUUGCUCGCCAAGAUCAUUGUCUUUGGAUUUGCAGUGAAUAGUCAAUGUAUUGUUCGGUCCAAGUCCAUUCAUCACAAUAACACGCGCACUCUUAAUUCUGAAUGACGUCGGCACCACCACCGAUGAUGAAUGAUCCAAAACUGAUGAACAAGCAGUAAUCACCCCAGUAAGUAGUAGGAAAACAAAAGGAAUAUUGUUGUUGUUAGUAGCCAUUGUGUUGAAGGAAUGAAAUUAAUCAAUUACCCCUUAUUCACUUAAAUAGAUAUCAGGACGCAUUUUUAUUAUCUCCUUAAAUUUAGGAUGGACAGUUACGGUAACAUAAAAUCAGGACGCAGUUCUGAUGGCCCCUGUCACAGUGUCACAUAUAAAGAAUGACCCGGUUAUCCCUGUACAGUAACUUAACAUGUUAUACUAUCUUUGUAGUAUUAUACACUAAAACCUCGAUAAAUAAAUGCCCUUGGGAAUUAAAUUUUUUAUUACUUAAGCGAGGUUAUUCAUUUAUCGAGGUUUUACUGUACAUAGUCUGGAAAGAAAAAAAAAUCUAUAUAAUAAAUCGUAGGACGGUCCGAUUUAUGUUUAAGACAACCGUGUUUGUAGAUUUGUCUUAAGACAAUGAAGUUCUUUGGAUCAAUCACUUUCUCCAUAUGCUAUCUUUAUUAUAUUCGACCGACUUUUAGGAGGUCCAUUAUACGUUGGGUGGGAAAAAAAAACAGUGUCCGUUUGUCCACUUUCAAUUUUUUUUUUCUCUCUUUCUCUUCUCCAAUUCUUCUUCUUCUCUUCGUCUUUCUUCUAUCUUCUUCUCAUCUUCUCUCUCACUCUCAAUUCUCCUACUUCUCUUUCUUCUAUCUUAUUCUUCUUCUCAUCUCCUUUCUCUCUUUCAAUUCUCUUACUUCUCUUUCUUCUAUCUUCUUCUUCUCUCUCAAUUCUCCUUCUCCUCUUCGAUUUCUCUUUCUACAGUCGAUCCCCACCGUCUCACGGUUCUAUAUUCAUAAAAUAACCUACAAAAAUAAUCACAUUCUCCCAAUUUUAAUACAUCAUUUGUUUUUUUGUAAUAAUCUAUGUAACCCCAAUUAAUUCCAAAACAAUUAUAAUUAUAAGCCCAUCUUAUCAACCCAAAUUACUGCAGAAUAUUAAAGAAAAAUGAAUCCAAAGUUCUUAAUCGAUCAACUAUCUCAUUUUUUUCUCUUCCAUAAUAAAAAUAUCCUCCCUUAAUCAAUUUUUAACGAAAAUCUCUCUUCCCUAAACGUCUCCUCAAUUUUAUACUAAUUCCUAAUUUACUUAUAUAUCCUCACAAUUAAUUAAAUUAAUGGUGUAAGCUAAUAUUCACAUAUAAAUGGCAAAAAAAUCAACACAUUCAUCAGAACAAUUAGUAGUAAGUAGUAACAAGAAGUUUCUAUUCAUUGAUGUUGUAAAAGGGAAGGCACUUGUAUUUUCGGCCUACCGUAUAUCUAAUAUACAAAAGUAUAUACAUGAUUUGACAAAAUUGGAUGUUUGAAGGGACCAGCCUCCACAGAACCAUAGUGCUGCAGUACAUAUCUGCUCAUUAUCUGCUGACUAACUGACUUACAAGACAAUUAACUGACUAGUUAGUUCCAUGAAAGAGUCUUCGUUGCAUGGGAUAGUUAGCCCUCCCAUUGGAUGAUUAAACCCAAAUUCUUCCUCAGCUUGAUUUAACAAGUCUUGGAAUAAAGGAUGAGUCAAGAACGAUAUUGGAACUACAAAUCGCC
Molecule: long non-coding RNA, 62101 nt
Filed under: Aquilegia coerulea
Lineage: Eukaryota; Viridiplantae; Streptophyta; Magnoliopsida; Ranunculales; Ranunculaceae
Description: long non-coding RNA (ACOE_LNC000628)
Source: RNAcentral